AAACAACAAUGUGAAUGCUCAUGAUGGUUCUCUUAACUUUUAUCAUGUUGUUGCAAUUGGAUGUUUCAUUAUCAACCUAAUGAUAGAAAAUAAACUUCCUAUCAAGAUGAAAUUUAUGAAAUCAAGUUGUUGUGUCGUGCAUUACCUUGUAACCCACGUGCUUCUUCCAAGAAGGGAAAUUUUUGAUGAGGUCCUAAAAGAAUAUAUGGUAUCUAUGUGGCUGCUAACCCAAAAUUUUCAACUUAAUUAGACUUAUGGAAUGUUUCGGUACAUGUUCAAGUUCCAAAAAAGUAAUUGAAUAGGAUUAAACUACAAAAGUUUAAUCACCUUUCCUGGUUAAAGCUUGAAUCUUUUUGGAUAAUGAAACUCUGGUUCUGCUUUUAGGCAAAUUUAUGCAAAAUCUCUAAGCCAGAUCAAGGUUUGAGUUGGUGAUGGGACAUUAGAGGAUGCUCUUAUGGAAGCAUGUGAUAACAAAGAUAAUCAAGGACCAUCUUCUGAAAGAAUGUUUAUGACCCUUUUAGAAUCCUCCUAAGAGACUGCUCAGACUAUUCAAUAUUUGACCAAGGGCAAUGCUCUCAUAAAUAAACAUGUUUUUGUAAAGGAAAUAGUCAAUAAUGAUAAUAGCGAUAAUUAGUAGUUAUCUCACUUAUUGUUUGUUUAUCUUUUUAUUGUGUUUAUUUCUAGAAAUUUCAUGUUUAUUGUACUUUGAAUCUAUUUCACUUAAAUUAAUAAUAAGUAUUUUAUCUCCCUUCUUAUUUUAUAUGUUGACUUAUGUGUUUGAAUUUACUUUUCUAUUUGUUUAUUAUUUCCUCCUUUUUGAUAAUGUCAAAGGAGGAGAAGUAUACUCUCAUGGGGAGUAGGAAAAUCUCUCUAUUUUUCAGGGGGAGUUUAACCACUUCAAUCCUUUAUCUAUGUUUCUUUGUUUGUAUAAAUCUCGGAGAGAUAUGUUGUCAUCAUCAAAAUGGGAAGAAUAUGGAUCUAUAUGUCUGCAGGUAUAGUGUAUGCAAUAAUCAAAUAUCCAUAAUAGUUUUGAUGAUGACAACACUAUGAUGUGAAGUAUUCAUCUUAAAAGUGAUGAUCAAUAUGUUAUAUCAAGAUCAAAAAAAUUCAUUUGUGACAUCAAGAUACCAAAGCCAAUAUCUAUAAGGACAAAACCUAAUGUCAAGCGAUGUUUGGUGAAAUCCUUGAUGGUAUAUGGUCAAGCAAUAUCUAAUGAUGGUAUUUACCAAGAAGCUCUAUCAAGCCUCAUCAGUUAGAAGAAGCCAAGUAUUAGAUGAAGUGUUGAAUUAAUAAUGAUCCAAUUAGGGGAUCUUGAAGCUUCAAAGAUUGUGAAAGAAAGGAACUGUGAAAGCUCUUAUGGCAUGUCCUUGAGUUAUCACAAUAUUGUAAAGAUAUAAGAGUAACUCUUAAAUUACUAAAGUAAUGCAAACACCCACCUAAAAAUAUUUUAAACCUAUAGAGGAACCAUCAAGGUUCUAUUGGGAUUGACCUAGAGUGAUAUUGAUCAUUUAGGAAGCUUGUAUACAUUGCUUAAUUGAUAAGGGGCCUUAACCAAUCAAUUAUAGCAAGGUAUAAAGCUUUUUCAUUGAUGGUAGAAACUUCCUUGUCCAGAUUUUGAAGAACUAUAAAAUUUUCAUGGGAGAUUACAAGAAUGCCAUUCACCAUUCCUUUAUUGGGUGUAACUUGAUGAGAUUCAAUUACUUUUUCUUCCAUUGGACCAUUCCUUAAUUCGCCUUAAAAGACAAUAACCAUGUUUUGGCUUAAAGUUAUUGAGUCAAGUGGCAAUGGAUUAAGUCAAAUGAUUCAAUUCAUAGUCAAAUAAGGCAACCCAUCUGAGUGAAUCCUUCUACAAUAUGAUAUGUGGUUAAAAAUCCCACCGACCCAAUUGGUUGAGAGAUCUUGGGUUAUAACCCACAUAGAAAAAAGGUCUUGCUUUAUGAGUACUCUAUGAUUCUCUUUUCUUCGAAAUAGAAUAUUGUGAAACCUUGUUUUGCAGGUUAGUUCCAAGUGACAUGCCUUUAAUAAGGACAACAACUUUUGAUGUUGACUAUUGAUGUCUAAUGAUGACUUAAUAACAAGUCAAGCAUAAGCUGUUAAACAAUUAAAGAUGCAAACCAAGAUAUUUAGGUUUGAUAAGACUUGACUAUCUGAUGAUAGAAACCAAAUGGAAUAUAAAUCAAGUCUCAUCUCAAAGUAAACUCAAGCAAGUGUCUACAAGAAAUAAUGCAUCUGAAAAGUCUUGAAGUAUAAGAAAACUCUACCUUGAUUACUUUGAGUGAAUACUUUGUAAAGCAUAAGACAUUCUCAUAAAAGUGCAAGGCUGAAUCACCCACACACGAAAACAAUUUUUAAACUGAUUUUUCUCAAGAUUUUUUUUCAAAAAUAUCUUGAAGUUGUUCCAUAUGAGUUGGAAGUUGUCAGAAAAUCUCUAAGGGAAUUUUUGUCUUUGCCAAUCGAUUGCCACCUUAACCAAAUCGGUUGGGUCAGUUCAAAAAUGUGCCCUAAGCGAUUAGGAAAAUAUAUUAGUGAGGUGUAACAAAUAUAUAUAUUUCCUUUCCUUUUUAAACUUAGUAAUCAAUUAAUAUGAAGGCAACCAAUCGAUUGGUAUAUGUUGCCAAUUGAUUGAGAAUCAUGAAUUGGCCUUAAAAUGUUUUCCUUUUGAGACAACCUCUAGCCUAUAAAUAGAGGUCCCUUACCACUUUCAAAAUCAUCAAGAAUCGUGUUUCAUUUCACACUUCUCACACUCUCUCUAAAAAAUCUCGUUUGUUUGCUUUCUCUCACUAAGAAUUUAGCCAAAGUGCUUUUCGAGAAAUUUAUUUUACGAGUGAGGAAGUUGUAAUUUUAGAAGGCUAGAUUUAUAAUUUCACCAAGGAACUUUUGUUUAUACUACGUUUGAACAUUUUAUCCACUUAUUAUUUAUUUGGGUUCGAAGCUAAACCCGUAAAAAGCUUAUGUUUGGGAUUUGUGUGAUCAAAGUCUCUUAUUUAGGUUCAAGAUUAACCUAUGAUAAAAUAUCAAAGGUUCUUGGUUAUUACAUGAUAAAACAAAGAUUAGUUUAAAGCUUAGCCCAAUAUUAAAAGCUUAUUUUGGUUCAAGAUCAACCUGGUGGUAAAACCUCACUGGUUAUUGGUUACCCAUUAUAAAACCAAGGAUUAGGUUCAAGAGCUCAUCUCGGUGUUAAAAGCUCCCAAAUUUUGUUUGAAACUUGAAGACUAACUACUCUAAGAUUCCUGUGUAAAGGAGACUAACCGCUUCGAUUCACCAUUUGGAAGGAAGACUCACCGCUUCACUCCAUAGUUUGUUGUUUGGUUGGAAGUUAACCAUAAACUUCAUUUUUCCUUGUAUAAGGGGGUUUAAGACUUUAACCUACUAAAAGUUGUUAAGUUUAUUGGAUACUCUCAAGAACAAUUCUUGGGGAGAGGAUUAUAUAUUUUUCUCUUUUAACCGAACCUAUAUAAUUUCAUGUGUCUUCUCUUUUCCCUUAACUCUUUAAUUUAUGCACUUUACAUUCAGCAAGUUUAUUUUUCCACUGCUUAAUCUUAAACACUUUUCUGAAAAUGUUUUUAAACUGUGAUUUUAAAUAUCAAAGUUUUUCAAAAUAAUUUUUUUAUGAAAUACACGAUUCACCCCCCUCUUGUAUGUGAAUGAUUUACCAAAUUAGGACAACUCAAACAUUUUUCUAAAAUCAUCUAUGUGGAUGUGUACCUAUACACCCUUUACCGAAUAUGUGAGUGUUAGGUCUUUAAACUUGAUAUUUGGGUAGAACAAUAUGAAAGCCUUGGAAACAUGCAAUACGGUACUUUGAUGAAGAACUAUCUAAGGAAAUAUCAACUAAUGUUAUCAUAAGGUCUGAAAUCCCUAAGAAACGUCAAUUCCAUAUGAGAAUGCUUGAUCACAAGACACUUGGACAUAUCUUUCUAUUCUUGAUUCUUUGAUGAAGAUUAUUAUAAAAUAUACUUGCUUGAAUAAGUAUUUCCAGAAGGUAAACUUCUUGUUGUAGCCAUGAUGAUGAUAAUAAUAAUGGCAAAAAGUAGAAACUAACACAAGAAUAGAGGAGAGAAAGAAGAUUUGGGAUGCAAAAGAAGGGGUGAGUGAAUAACUUUAUAUAACAUAGUUUCUAAGUCUAUUUUCAUAAGAAAAUCAAUAAAAUAUAAGGAUAUUUUUCCCCAAAAAAAUAUUUAUUUGAAAAUCUUAACAAAACAAGCUCUCUAAUCAAUUAAAACCAAAGCUUGAUCAAUUAGAUCUUCAAAAUAUUAAGAUUUUGCACAUUCUUCAUUAAUAAGAUGAUUUGUUUGAUUUUUGCAUUUUCCUUCUAAUCUAUUGUCCCUAUGGACUAAUUGUUUAUCUCAUGUCUUACUUAUUCCGUCUGGGUCUUGGAUGACUUUGGGCUUAGUUGAUUGCUUUUUGCACCCUUACUCUUCAACAAUGUACCCAUUAGCUAGAUAUUUCAAUUCUUUGAUUUGUAAUCUUGCUAAAGGCUCAUCAAAAUUAAAUCAAAAAUAUGUUAGUGAUAAAAUAAUAUUCACUAAGAAAUAAAGAGACCACUUUCUAGACAAUAUCUCAUGUCUUACUUAUUCCGUCGGGGCCUUGGAUGACUUUGGGCUUAGUUGAUUUCUUUUGGCACCCUUACUCUUCAACAAUGUACCCAUUAGCUAGAUAUUUCAAUUCUUUGAUUUGCAAUCUUACUAAAGGCUCAUCAAAAUCAAAUCACAAAUAUGUUAGUGAUAAAAUAAUAUUCACUAAGAAAGAAAGAGACCACUUUCUAGACAAUUUCCUCAGAGUUUUCCUAUUCAAUUUCCACCAAGUGUUUUACCUUUAAAUCUCAAGAUAUCUUGAUAAAACUCCCCCUCAUGAUAGAAAGAUAGUCCUUUGUCAAAAUUCCAUCUCUACGGAUGUCUUGAUAUGCGAUUUGGAUAAAAAAUGAUCAAUAGUGACACGAUCGUCAAAGAUCCUCAGACUCCUUAAAGCAUUAGGACCAUCGCAUUGGUGAACAUUACCACCAAUACCAAUAACCUAAUCAAUAUUUCUCCAGGACCACUAAGCACAUACUUUCUCUUGUAUACUUAAAGUAUACACAUGUUUUCCACAAAUUUAUCAAAUUAUCAUUUAGUUCAUUUAAAACUACAAAGCAAUCUUGUAGAACAUAUUAAGUUUUCACCUUUGAUACCCAAAUUAUUUUGGAUCCUAGUGUGUUUUUGGUUCUAAAAGGUUUAGGGUUAUUUCCAUUGGAACAUAUUAUAUAAUUUAUAUUGGAAUAAUAAUAAGGCUUUUAUGACAAAAAUUUCACUUAUAGAUCGAACAAUUAGAUUUCUUUCUAUCAUGGCAAAUAUUUUUAUGCGAUCUAAAGGUUUAUAGCCUAAUCUAUUUUUAUUAAAUGAAGCCUUUUGAUUAGAAAUAUUUAAAUAAAGCUUAUAUUUACCCUUAGUAAAUUCCUCUAAGAUUUUAUGCAAGUUGGUUACUUCAUUUUUUAGUGACUUGCAAGAUUCACAUUUAUCUGAUUUUAAGGAUUCACUUAUAAUCAUAGCAAUUUAUUCACCAAGAAUUUUAUUUCCAUUUUCUAAAAAUUCAAUAUACUCUUUAAGAUAAAUAACACCCAUCUUCAUUUUAUAAUUAUCUUUGUUAAGCUUGACAUUGAUCUUGAACAUUUAUUUAUAAGUUAAAGAGGUUAUCCCAAGGUUGUCUUCUCUUAAAGCUUUGAAGCACUUAUGAUCUUCUUUAGCAUAGUUCAUUCUUUGAGAAGACAAUUCAUGAAAGUCUUCUGAUGUAUUGUUGUGUAUAUUUGUGAAUACAUAUUUGCAUGGAUCUCUUGGUUUUUUUCUCUAUUGAUUCAUCUUUGUUGCUCCAUCUUCUUCAUGACACUGGACAUGAGGGAUUAGUAAACAUUCCUCUAAAAUUUGAUAAUUUGCACAAAAAAAUGGAUGUUGUAUCUUCAUCAUCUCUAUUUCCAAAUAUUUUUCUUGUUGAAGCUUCUUCAACUCCUCUACUGGAUGAAGACUCCUUGUAAGAUCGUUCGUUUAUUGUAAUGUUCUUUUAAAGGACAUCUUUGGUGUUUAUCUUUCAUCUUUGAGUAUUCCUAUGGAUGAAGUUGAUGAUCAUGUAGAAGAUGACAUUGAUGAGGAAUAUUAAGAUCUUUUAAGUAUGUUUGAUCUUUCUUCUUUUUCCUUGAGUAUCUGAUUUAACUCCGUGAGUUUCUUGAUGAUAUCCUCCUUUCUAGAUUCUUUCUGAAACACAACAAAAGCACUACUAUCGUGUGAAUUGGAGAUUGAAUCAACUUUCUGAUUCUAGCUCUUAAUUAUUAGAUAGUUGUUAGAUAAAAAAAUUCUAAUAUAGCCUCAAAGGAUUCCAAUGGUUGACUAUCAUCCAUGAAAAUAAUGAUCAUAUUCAUUUGGCAUAUCAACUUCCUGGUUUUGGGUGUUUAUUCACUACAACAAAUAACGCUUUUUAUGACAAAGCUAACACCUCAAAAAAAAAUAAGGGUAUGGGUACUGGGAGCGCCAGGUUUCAUUUAAAAAAAAUGAUAAACAACCAUUUACCUUAGUUUUUAAGAAAAAUGGGAGAAUAAAGCUAUAAUGGAGCUCGCUUCGACACCCAGUUAUUAUAUUUUAUGUUUUUUUCCAGUUGUUUAGUUAGUAUUUCUCAGUUGACACAUUUCCAAGUUCCAUUUGUAUUAUUGUUAUUUUUUUAUUAGUAUUUACCUCGACUACAUAAUCCAACUGAGAGGUAAUAUAUUUUACAUUAAUCAAUUUCCAAAUACUAUUUUCAAAAUAUUAUUUUAAUUUUUUAUUUGAUAUAUUCAAACCUCUCAGUUAUUUAAAAAACCGACGCUAUAUAUCUUUUAAUUGAAUUUCCAUAAUAUGAGAAUUUUUUUUUUAAAUAUCCAAAAAUUUCAAAAAAAUUUCAAAAAUAUCCAAUUUUUCAAAAUAAUUACACAAAUGGCCAAAAUUGGCCAUUUUUUACCCUUAGGCGCCACCCUAGUUGGCGCCUACCCUUAAUGGGGAGGGCAAGUGCCACUAGGGUGGCGCCUAUGCCCAAUCCAUUUUUUUUUUUUUUUUUUUUUUUAAUGUUUUUUUUAAUGUUUUUUUUUUUUUUUAAUUUUUUUUUAUUUAUAAAUUUAUGUUUUUUAUUAAGUUAUAUUUUAUGUUGACACAUAUAUUUUGUCUAAAUUUUUUUAUUUAUAUAUAUAUAAUAUAUAUUAAUAUAUAUAUAUAUUAAUAUAUAUAUAUAUAUAUUAAUAAUUUAUAAGUAAUUAAUAUUAUGUAAAUUUUUGGAAAAAAAAUUAAUUUAUAUAUGUAUAAAGAUAUGAUAGACAAUAUUUUUAAAGAUAAAGAUAAAGAUAAUAAAGAUAAUAAACAGAAAUAUUUUUAUUUAAAUAAUAAAACAAGGCAAAUAUUUACAAAGAUAUGAUUAAUCACAUAUGAUGCGGUCCCUUGUACGAUCCGCACGGGGGAGGUCUAGUUACUCGCCUAGACGGUUCACGUGUGGUGGUGCUCCCUAUUACCACCCCUUGCCCUAACGCGCCCCUUGCCGCUUGCCGUUGUGGUUCGGUCGAAGUCCCUUCAGUCCUGUAGGAAAGACGGGUCCCUCUGCGCCCCUCGAGCUUUGUCUCGGUGGACAAACUGACUACUGCUGGGUGCGCCCUCGAAUUGUGGUCUUUGGUAGUUUAGGGUUGAAUCGGGUUUGGCCAAAGUGCAAUGUUUGUUGUGGUGUGUAGUAGUCCUGUUGUAGUCCUCUUGUAUACGUGUCGGGGCUAAGGUGGAGGACUGGAAGAGCUUGGGAAAUUGCCGUGUUGGAAUUGUGGAUUGGUGGAAGUAGGGGAUUGAUAUGUGGUAGGUGUUGGGACUGUUGAUGGUGGGGAAUGUUGAGUUUGUUGUUGGUAAGUCUUCAUGGUAUUGGGAUUGAGUUGUGGUAUGUAUUGUUGAUGUUGGUUGGGGGUGGACAUGUGUUGUGGUUGUUGUUGUUGGUAAUAUGGUGGUGGUGGUUGUUGUUGGUAAUAAGGUGGUGGUGGUUUGUGUUGGUAAAAUGUGUGUUUGUUGUGUUGUAAUAAGGUGGUGGUUGUUGUUGUUGGGAUACUGUGGUGGUUGUGUUGUUGAAAUAUGGCUGUUGCAUCCGGGGUCGUCCAAAUAGAACGGUCAGACACACAUCAUUUCUGGAUUGGUAUUUGCUCUAUAACCAUCCACAUAUUCCCUUGUCGGCUUCAUUUCGUUGGGCGCCACCGGAAAUUGUAGAACAUAGUGGGCACGGUCUUCCACAUUUUUCGAAACUCCUUAGCAAAUUCCUUCCAAUUUUGGGCAUACCACUGUGGCUGACUUUUUUUAGAUGCCAAAGGUUCCAUGGACAUUGGGGGGCCUGGGAUGUCUUGAUGCAUUCCGAAUUGAAGCUUGACACGGUCACUUUGGUGCAUCUCCACAGUGGGAAACCGCAUUAUGGCCGUUUUUGCUGUCCAAACAGCUGCAUCUUCGGGUUUGGUUGAUGUUCAACCCAAAUAUGGCCUCCAAAUAAACUGCAAGAAAAAAGUAAAUAUGUUAUUUAUCGAUAAUGCAUGACAUUAAUAAAUCAGUUAGAAGUUGAGUGAUUUAGUGGUAAUACAUCCUGUGCUCGGAGACGAUCCAACAGUGACGAUAAAUAUAUUUUAUUUUUGGGGGUAAGACUGUAAUCCAGUCCGGUUGUAAUGAACCUAAACAAAGAAGAAUAAUAAUAUUAGUUACAAAUAUUUAAUAGAAAUAAAUAUACAAAAUGAAAUAAGAUCAUAAAUUUACCUAGUUGCGUAGGGGAAGGAGUAGUCAUAGGAUUUUCUGGGGCUAGCCUCGGCAAUCUCCACCACCCCAUGUUUGAAGCAAAAAAGAACAUCCAGAAAAUGUACAGUGCUCAUUUGUGCAUUUUUACACAAAGAGCUAUAUAGGAAUGCUAAUACUGCAGAACCCCAACUAUAUGUGCUUAUUCUAUCAAUGUCCCCGAGCAAAACUCAAGUACAUAAAAUUUUAUGCUAUUUCCCGUCCGCUCGGGAAAAGCAAGUUCCCAAACAAUAGCAUAAUGUAAACCCGGUUUUUAUGACUUUUUCUUGUUCGGAGGAUUCCUCAAUCAAAGUUAUGGAGUCGUGGUACAAUUGUAGGCUAGAUAAUUUAAUACCCUGACCCUUGCUUUGGCAGACCCCCUCACCCUCGACCAGAUCUACCCCCAACAUUUCAACACAUAUGGUUAGGAUGUUGAACAUUUCCGGUGACAGGCUUACCAUCUAUCUACAGACCUAAAAGCAUGUACACGUCCUCUAAUGUGACGGUACAUUCACCAGUUGGUAGGUGAAAGGUGUGUGUCUCAGGUCUCCAACGUUCACACAGAGCCAAAAUGAAUUUGCAUCAAAUGGUGGCAUUUACGACAUGCAUUACAUGACCGAACCCGCACGCUCUAUGUAAGGUACGACGCAUGGGUCUGGAUAAGGCAUUGGGUGUGAACGUUGACGAAAUUCUUGGGAUCCUUUAAAAACAAACAAUAUAAAAAAUUAUUAUAUUGGACUUUUAAAAAACUAAACUACAAACAUACGGAAAGAGGCAAGCUUCAAGAAAAACUUACGAAUGAGGCAAGGUUUGCCCUAGUUCCUCUGUGUUCUUGGCCCAGUGGUAAGAAAGCGACAUGACUGCAAUGUAGAAGAACUUGGUGGAUGAGAAGUUCGCCUGAGUUCUCUGAAUAAAGUGUUAGUGGUAGAUGAAAACUUGCAAGAAUGACCCUCUAUUUAUACUCUUUUUCAAGUAAACUGAAUAUGCAAAAAUGUGACAAGUGUAAGGCAUGCGUGGUAGUUGUUGGCAUGCAUUGGUGGAAUCUGAUGAUGCAGAAACGUGACAAGGUGAGGCAAUGCGUGGGAACUGCAGAAUGAGGUGCAGACUACGUGCAGUGAUUGGCAUGCAUAGGUGCAGACUAGGUGGGAGUUGUCUUGUCUUGGGGAAGACUUGGUGGAAUCUGAUGAUGCAGAAACGUGACAAGUGUGAGGCAUGCGGGGGAAUCUGCAGAAUAGGUGCAGACACGUGCAGUGUUGCAUGCUUAGGUGCAGACUAGGUGGGAGUUUGUCUUGUCUUGGGGAAGACUUGGUGGAAUCUGAUACGCAGAUACGUGACAAGUGUGAGCAUGCGUGGGAUCUUGCAGAAUAGGUGCAGACUUACGUGGCAGUUGUUGCAUGCUUAGGUGCAGACUAGGUGGAGUUGUCUUGUCUUGGGGAAGACUUGUGAAUCUGAUGAUGCAAAAAUGUGAACAAGUGUGAGGCAUGCGUGGAAUCUGCUCGAUAGGUGUCACAUCUGUACAGGUCAGUAUGAAGUUAAGUGUCACAGAGGAUAGUAGAACCAAUUUAGCUUUGAUAUCCCCCAAUAUAUUUAUUUAACGGUUGAAAUUUGUACUUUCAAAUAUUUAUUAUUGUGGUUGGUAUCGCUUGCUACUUCAAUAUUUUUUCAAAAAGAAAAACAAUAAUUUAUGAUUAUAUGUUCAGUGAUUUUAAAAUUUAUUGAAUAUUUUAUUUAACCUUUUAAAUUUGAAUUUACUUAUUUUAAGUUUCUGUCCAUUGAUUGUUUCUUUAAGAUUUGUCGUAAUUUAUUGUGUUUAUUUUAUAAAUGUAUUGAUAAAUUAUGUCUAUAACUACCUGCAUGGGAUUGGUUGGUUAAUGUCAUUUUGUAUCAUUGAUCUUAUUGUGGUGUAGUUUUGUGUCUAUUCAUAUUUUUUGGUUUGUUUGGUAUCUACUAUGUAUUAUGUUUUGUUCUAUUGCGUGUGAAUUCUCUUGAGACUUGGUUGUUGUUUUGAAUUGAAGCUUUUGAUGGGGAACUAUUGUUCAUGUGCAUUUUGGGAUUUCUCUGACGAUCUUAUGUCUUAGUUGGCAGGUGGUAUAUUUUUGUCUAUCAUGCAUUAGUUACAUUGAUAUGGUGGUGAGUUGUGUCAUUUCAUAUGGUGUGUAAUCGUGUAUAUGGCUUUGCAUGAUUGGGAAUUCCUGAGACUGUGUGUGAUAUGUAGCUUGAUGGGGGAAUCUUAUUGGCAUGCUCUUGGGAAUCUUUCUUGAGAUCUUAUUGUUUCAGUGCUAGGUUUGUGAUAGGUUGAAUGCAUUAGUUACAUGAGUCUAGGUGGUGUACGUGUGCAUUUCUAGAUGGGUGUGAUCACGUGUAAUGGCGUUGCAAGGUAAUUCUCUGAGAUCUUUUGGUGGUUGUUUCAUGUAACUUGUAUGUGGUUGGAACAUGGCUAUGCUAUUGUGUGAUAUCUUCUUUGAGAAUCUUAUGUUCAGUUGUUCUUAGGUGGUAUUUAUGUGUUUGGUUUAUGCAUAGUACAUUGACUAGGUGGAGUUGUGCUAUUCUAAGGGUGUUGACGACUGUGUAAUGUGUCAUUGCUAUGAUGGUGAUAUCUUUAGACUUUUGGUGGUGUUUAGGAGCUUUGUUGGGUGACCAGGUCUUUGCAUGUGGAUAUUCUUCUUACUUGAUGUCAGGUUGCUAGGUGGGUAUUAGUUGUGAGUAUGUCAUUAGUUCUAUGAUCUAGGUGGGUAGUGUUGCUUAUUUUUCCAAUGGUGUUGACCUUGGUAAGACAUUUGCAAUUGUGGAUAUCUUCUGAGUGUUCUUCAAUUCACUUUAUUGCUUUUCAUAGUCAUAUUUCUUUCAUAUCUAAUCAUCAUAUCUCAUCAGCUAAUUUCUCAGUAAGAUUUUUCUUUUGCAUGUAUAUAUAUUAUUUUCUACACCUAUCAUUUUUUCUGCGCAUUAUGUUGUAUUUUUUUCUUUACAAUUUUUUUUUUCUACUAUGCAAUUUCUUCUACUUAAAAUACCUUGGAAAUGUUAUCUUCAAACAAAUACCUUUUUUCAUCUAAUAACCUCUAUCAUGAAUCCUUCUAUUCAAUAUAUCCUUGUCACUUAAUAAUCCUUCAUCAAAACCUUCACAAUGCUUCAACUAUAAACAUGUCAUUUCUCUUAUCACAUUAUUAUUCUAUUAAGUUCAAUUAAGCUCGUUACUUUGUCAAGUUGGUUUGAGACUUUAUGUUACUUGUUGUAUUUAUUUAGUUGUCUGGUUCCUAUUUUAGAUAACCUUUAUCCUGAUAUGCUACUUCUGGUGUCUAAAUAUUUGUAGGAGGUUGUACUUUCUUAUCUGUUUAUGAAAGUUUGAAGAUGAGGUCCUAAAUUGCUUAAUGAAAUUCUGCGUUCCUCUAAUAUUUUUUUUUUAUUCAACACUGUCUUUUUUUUUUUCAAACAUCAAUCGGCGAUCUUGGUUUGAUGUUAUGUCAUUGAUUUUUCAUAAUAUGACUUAUGGAGACUCUCAUUAUACUAAUGCUUCGUUAUCAUAGUACUCUUGGUUUGUACGUUUUUGUGACGUACAUAGGUGUUUGGUGUUACUUAUUUUUGGAGACUUAAUCCUCUAAUUUUCCAAUUUCUUUUUCAGAAUUUAUUCAAGUUCUUACGUUGAGGUUAUUUUGAUCCUGGUGAUUGAUGACUGAACAAGUGUUUGUUUUUUUUGGUGUUUUUUUUUUUUUUUUUUGUUUUUUGUUGUUUUUUUUUUUUUUGUUUUUGUUUGGGUUUUUGUUUGUUUUUUUUUUUUUUUUUUGUUCUUUUUGUUUUUUUUUGUUUGUUUUUUUUUUUUGUUUUAUUUAGUGUCUUGAGUGUCACUCGACUUUGUUGGUGGUGGAAUGACGAUGUUGUUGAUGGUUCUUUUUUUUUUUUGUUUGUUUUUUUGUUUUUUUUGUUUUGUUUGUGUUUUUUUGAUGAUUUUUUGAGCUUGUGUGGUUUGUAUUUAGUUUUGACUUUGGGAAUAUCCCGGCAGGGUCGGAAAGAGCGAAGAUCUAAUCUUCGAGUAUAUACCUAUUUAUUUUUUUAUUCUGCAUUUACGCUAUUUUUCACUUUCUCGUUCUGUUCGCUAUCUUCACAUAUCACUUAAUUUUCUGGGACUGAUUGAUGAUGUCUCCUUUUGUUUUCGAUCAGAUAUUGUUCUUAUAUUUUUCAUACCUCAAUAUAUGAGGUCUGAUGAGGACUUAAAGAAAGGGUGACCAAUUCGGACCAAAGGAAGAGUGUCUGUUAGCAAUAAAGAACUGGCACUUGAAAAAUUGUGUUGACUACGAUGUAUCAAAUCAAAUCCGGAAAGAUACGUAAUUGAAUGGCAAAAAUCCGAGUGUGGAAUAUAGGUUAUGGCAUCGUACAAAGAAGAAAGCUAACGCGUGGGUGAUAGGGUCAAUAUCUCAAGCUCACAUUUGCGUCACACCAACAUGGCACAGGAUCAUCGCAAACUUAGCCAGCACUGCUCUGCCAUUCCAUAUUACCUCUAGUUGAGGCUUGACCCGUCACUGAAGGCAAAACAAUUAUUCUGCCAUUGUGUGGCUGUUUUCAAAUAUACACCCGUCAUACAGAAAGGCUUGUUAUCAAAAACCAAGGCCAAUUGAACUGGUGUACGGUAACUGGGAGGAAUCAUACAAACAACUACCACGCUACCUUGGCUGCACUACGAUUGUAUUCACCUCUGGGACGGUUACUAUAAUGGAAGACCUUGCCUGCACAAUCCCCUGACGGAACUCGUCUAGAAGGUAAUGGAAUUUUCCCAUAGACUUUUCUGGGCAUUUCCGUCCAUGCAUCAUCGGUUCACAUUCUGCAAACCACUUGUUCAAGCGUCGAUGGAACUUGGCUGUAUGGGAAAUACAAAGGAUCGUUACUGAUGGCGGUCGCACAAGAUGGCAAUUCAAAUUUUUCCCAAUACCUUUGCAUUGGUGGAAGGAGAAACGGCAGCUGGUUGGAGUUUCUUUCCUUAAGAAUCUUCGAACGCACGUGACUCCACAAGCUGGCAUCUGCGCGUUAUUUUGACAGGCACGCCUCAAUAGACAGUGCAUACAAUAAUCCAGCAAAUGGCUGGCAUGACCCCCCGUCUACCCAUGUCUACUGCAUCAGGCAUAUUGCACAAAAUUUUAUGCGGGAGUUCAAGGAUAACUUUUUUAAGCAACAUUUGAUAAACGCGGGGUACGCAUUAAACCAGCCUGGAUUCCAAUACUAUCGCCGGAAAUAGUGUUGGCAAAUUCUGAUGCAGGGAGGUGAUUGAUAAUAUCGACAGAGCGAAGUGGACUAGAUCGUACGACGAUGGGGUGAGGUGGGGCCACAUGACAACAAAUCUUGGGAAUCAAUGAAGGCGUGUUUAAGGGGCAUACGUAACCUCCCGGUAACCGCAUGGUGAGUGCGACCUAUUUUCGGAUGCAACGUUGUUCGUAACAAGGGGCAGGCGCUGAAUGAAGUGUUGCAGACGGAGUCAGGUUUAUAGUGAAGCCUGCAUGAAGUUUAUGAGGCAGGAAUCCGCCAAAGCCAGCAGCCAUCGGUUACGGAGUUCGACCGCCAUGGCACACUUUCAUGUCAAGGAAACAAUUGACCACAACAAGGGCUGCCCAGCAAGAGUAUGGUCCUAAUACCAGACCGUUGGUGCGACUGUGGUCAAUUUCAGGCGUAUCGUAUGCCUUGUUCCCAUGUCAUUGCAGCGUGUUCACACAGCCACUUCGAUGCAUUAUCGCUAGUGUCUCACAUCUACAAAGUUGCAAAUUGCUCAAUGUAUACGACAAUCCCUUUCCGUGGUAGCAUUGGAGGCGUAUUGGCCAGAGUAUGACGGGGAAAUUGUUUGGCACAACGAAUCGAUGCGGCGGAAUAAAAGUGUCGCCCAAAUAGCAGGCGCAUUAGAACUGAAUGGACGUUGCAGAGAAAAAUGCAGAGGAAGUGUAGCAUAUGUAACAACUAGGGCAUAAUAAGAACAAAUGUCCAUAUCGUGGAUCUAGUUCCACAACUUAGUUUUCACUUUCAUAAAUCUGUGUACCAAAAUCAUUUUAAAUUAAAGUUUACUUUUAUUCCAAAUAGAAGAUGACACCUUGAACAACAAACNNNNNNNNNNNNNNNNNNNNNNNNNUUGAAAUUUGACUUUCAAAUGAUUUAUUAUUGGGUGUACGCGGUCACUUUCAAAUAUUUUCAAAGAAAAAAACAAAUAUAAUAUUGUAAUUAAAUUAUUUUAUGUUUUAUUACAACUUUAAAUUGAAUACUUCAUUUAGUUACGCCAUACUAAUUGGCGUAUAUGUGUUAUAAAAGUAGAAAAAGUCCAAAACACCUGCAUGGAUAGUGUGAAUGCAUUAGUACAGACUAGGUGGAGUGUUGCAUUCAAGGGUGUGACACAUGUAAGGCAUGCUGGGAAUCUCUGAGACUUGGUGGUGAAGACAUUGAUGGGGAACAGGCAUGCAUGGGAAUCUCUGAGACAUGUUCAGGCUAGGUGGGAUAGGUUGGAAUGCAUUGUACAGACUAGGUGGGAGUGUUGCAUUCAAGGGUGUGACACGUGUAGGCAUGCAAGGGAAUUCUCUGGACACUGGUGUGAAGACUUGAUGGGGAACAGCAUGCAUGGAAUCUCUGAGACUAUGUUCAGGCUAGGUGGAUAGGUUGGAAUGCAUUAGUACAGAACUAGGUGGAGUGUUGCAUUCAAGGGGUGUACACGUGUAAGGCAUGCAAGGGAAUCUCUGAGACUUGUGGGUGAAGACUUGAUGGGAACAGGCAUGCAUGGAAUUCUCUGAGACUAUUGUCAGGCUAGGUGGAUAGGUUGGAAUGCAUUAGUACAGACUAGGUGGGAGUGUUGCAUUCAAGGUGUGACACAGUGUAAGGCAUGCAAGGAAAUCUCUGAGACUGGUGGUGAAGACUUGAUGUGGGAACAGGCAUGCAUGGGAAUCUCUGAGACUAUGUCAGGCUAGGUGGAUAGGUUGGAAUGCUAUAGUACAGACUAGGUGGGAGUGUUGCAUUCAAGGGUGUGACAACGGUGAGACAUGCAAGGGAAUCUCUGAGGUAUUCACAAUAUCUUCACAGCAAUCUUCACACACAUAUCUUCACAGCAAUCUUCAGUAAGAAUUCUUGCAGAUAUAAUAUUCACACACAUUUUCGCAAAGGUAUUCACAAUAUCUUCACAGCAAUCUUCACAAAACCUUGAAAAUAUCUUCACAAAAACCUUCACAAAACCCUCACAAAACCUUCACAAAACCUUCACAAAACCUUCACAAAACCUUCACAAUGUCUUCACAAAACAUGUCAUCUUCUUCACAAUACAAAGUCAAAGCUCACGUCAACGGUGAGACUUAUGAAUGUGAUAAGUCUGGCUUCCUAUUUAGAAACCACCGAAUGCACUCGUUUUGUCUAAAUAGAGGAGCUGACUUCUCUUAUCUGAAAAGGAAGAUUGAGUCCAAACUAAGACAACCCGCUGUCCCAAAUUUUUUAUCAACAACCUUUUUUUUCAGAAAACAACUCUGUCCAAGUUUUAUAAGUCAUUGAUUCAAAAUGACAUGGAGACACAAUACAUGCUUCGUAACCAUGAGGUACUCUGGUUACGACUACAUAGUGUUUGUACAUUAUGUUGGAACAACCUCAACCAACUCAGAAUAUUCAAUCACAGGUUAUUGAUCCUGUGAUUGAUGAACAACAAGAUGCUGAGCACCACGUUGAAGACGAUGUGGUGAUGAUGCUGAAGACUGGUUGAUGACUUGGUGAACCGUCAUUCUGAAGACGAAGACCAACCUCAAAUACCUAUAGCGCAACGCUACUCACACUCCUGCGCACUUCACAACACUAACUUGGGCGAGGAUAACUCAUCAGAUAUGUUCUACAACCCAUAUAUGAGGUCUGAUGAGGACUUAAAGAAAGGGUGACCAAUUUCGGACCAAAGAAGAGUGUCUGUUAGCAAUAAAGAACUGGCACUUGAAAAAUUGUGUUGACUACGAUGUUAUCAAAUCAAAUCCGGAAAGAUACGUAUUGAAUGCAAAAAUCCGGAGUGUGAAUAUAGGUUGAUGGCAUCGUACAAGAAGAAGCAUAACGCGUGGGUGAUAGGGUCAAUAUCUCAAGCUCACAUUUGCGUCAACAACCCAACAUGGCACAGGAUCAUCGCAACUUAGCCAUGACAUGAUCUGCCAUUCCAUAUUACCUCUAGUUGAGGCUUGACCCGUCACUGAAGGUCAAAACAAUUAUUCUCCCAUUGUGUGCUGUUUUCAAAUAUACACCGUCAUACAGAAAGGCUUGGUUAUCAAAAACCAAGGCAAUUGAACUGGUGUACGGUAACUGGGAGGAAUCAUACAAACAAACUACCACGCUACCUGGCUGCACUACGAUUGUAUCACCUGGGACGGUUACUAAUAAUGGAGACCUUGCCUGCACAAUCCCCUGACGGAACUCGUCUAGAAGGUAAUGGAAUUUUCCAUAGACUUUUCUGGGCAUAUCCGUCCAUGCAUCAUCGGGUUCACAUUCUGCAAACCACUUGUUCAAGUCGAUGAACUUGGCUGUAUGGGAAAUACAAAGGAUCGUUACUGAUGGCGGUCGCACAAAGAUGGCAAUUCAAAUAUUUUUCCCAAUAGCCUUUGCAUUGUGGAAGGAGAAACGGCAGCUGGUUGGAGUUUCUUUCCUUAAGAAUCUUCGAACGCACGUGACUCCACAAGCUGGCAUCUGCGUUAUUUCUGACAGGCACGCCUCAAUAGACAGUGCAUACAAUAAUCCAGCAAAUGGCUGCAUGACCCCCCGUCUACCCAUGUCUACUGCAUCAGGCAUAUGCACAAAAUUUAUGCGGGAGUUCAAGGAAACUUUUUUGAAGCAACAUUGAUAAACGCGGGUACGCAUUAAACCAGCCUGGAUUCCAAUACUAUCGCGCGGAAAUAGUUUGGCAAAUUCUGAUGCAGGAGGUGGAUUGAUAAUAUCGACAGAGCGAAGUGGACUAGAUCGUACGACGAUGGGGUGAGGUGGGGCCACAUGACAACAAAUCUGGGAAUCAAUGAACGGCGUGUUUAAGGGCAUACGUAACCUCCCGUAACCGCAUGGUGAGUGCGACCUAUUUUCGGAUGGCAACGUUGUUCGUAACAAGGGGCAGGCGCUGGAAUGAAGUGUUGCAGACGAGUCAGGUUUAUAGUGAAGCCUGCAUGAAGUUUAUGAGGCAGGAAUCCGCCAAAGCCAGCAGCCAUCGGGUACGGAGUUCGACCGCCAUGGCCACACUUUCAUGUCAAGGAAACAAUUGACCACAACCAAGGGCUGCCCAGACAAGAGAUAGGGUCCUAAUACCAGACCGUUGGUGCGACUUUGGUCAAUUUCAGGCGUAUCGUAUGCCUUGUUCCCAUGUCAUUGCAGCGUGUUCACACAGCCACUUCGAUGCAUUAUCGCUAGUGUCUCCAAUCUACAAAGUUGCAACAUUGCUCAAUGUAUACGACAAUCCCUUUCCGGUGGUAGCAUUGGAGGCGUAUUGGCCAGAGUAUGACUGGGGAAAUUGUUUGGCACAACGAAUCGAUGCGGCGGAAUAAAAGUGGUCGCCCAAAUAGCAGGCGCAUUAGAACUGAAUGGACGUUGCAGAGAAAAAUGCAGAGGAAGUGUAGCAUAUGUAGACAACUAGGCUAAUAAGAACAAAUGUCCAUAUCGUGGAUCUAGUUCCACAACUUAGUUUUCACUUUCAUAAAUCUGUGUACCAAAAUCAUUUUAAAUUAAAGUUUACUUUUUAUUCCAAAUAGAAGAUGACACCUUGAACAACAAACACAAACAUUCUAACAUACAACACCAAUUACUAAAACAAAACAAAUACUGGAACAAAAACAAGUACUAAAACAAAGAACAAGUACUAGAACAAUAACAAAUACCACAACAACAUGACAAACAACCAUUAAAAUCUAAGAAAUUUACAAACAGUUAACACUAUGUCGUCUGAUCCAUGCAUCAUUUGGAUGCAAUCAAUGUCGCUUUCAACUCAACCACCAGCGUAUCGUUUCUCCAGUUUCAAAUGAGAACCUUGUUCUAAGCCUCUGAAUCCUUCUGAUGACUUCACCAGGUUGGAAUCUCCCUCUAACCAAGACAUCAAGGACCUUUUUAGUUGGUCCACGAACGGAUGUUCCAAAUUUCAUCUCCAUGGGGGUUUCAAAGGCGAGAAAAUAACAUGCCAUCCCUUUUUAAGAUUACUGGUUCAGGAUCGGCCGCCUUGAUGAUGUCGCUGCCAUGACGACGGUCUUGGGGAUCCAUGAACUCAACUUGAUACAGAAAGUGGUACGAAACAGUGUUGAAGAAAAUGCAAGGAAAUAACAAUUUAUUUAUAGGAAAAAGAUCUGGUUGUACACCAGUCUACCUAACCCUAAUUCUCCCAAAAAUUUAUAAAUAAUAUUAUUUACUAUAAAAUUAAAUUAAUAUAUAUAUAAAUUAAUAUAUAUAUAUAUAUAUAUAUAUUAUAUAUAAUAUAUAUAUAUAUAUAUCUUGUAAAUAAAUAUUUAUAUAUAUUAAUUAAAUGUUAUAAUAUUAAUUGUUUAUAAAUUAAAUUAAUAUAUAUAUAUAUAUAUAAUUUAAUAUAUAUAUAUAAAAUUAAUAUAUAUAUAUAUAUCUUGUAAUAAUUUUAUUAUAUAUAAUGUUAAUAUAAAUUAAUAUAAUUUAUAAAAAAAAUAUAUUUAUCAAAUAUCUAAUAUUAAAAAAAAAUUAAAAAAAAAAAAUUAAAAAACAUUUAAAAAAAAAAAAAAAAAAAAAAAAAAAAAAAAAAGGAUGUGGCAUAGGCGCCACCCCUAGUGGCGACUUGCCCUACCCAUUAAGGGUAGGCGCCAACUAGGGUGGCGCCUAUGUACACAAUUAGGGCAAAUUUUGCCCAUUUGUGUAAUUUUUUUGAAAAAUGGGUUAAUUUUGAAAAUUUUUUUAAAAUUCUGGAUAUUUAAAAAAAAAAUUCAUAAUAUGACGCUAUUGUGUUUUUUAUAUCUUAUAUUUUUAAUUAAUAUUGUCACGUCGAAUUUUAUAUAAAACUGACGUGACACGUAUAUUGCAUGAAAUACUUCAGACUACAAUCUAGCUAGUUUCUAACUUUUCAUUUACCUAUCAACGCUCAAACAUCAUUUUGUCACUCUCAUUUCGCAAAAACCCUAGGUGAUUUUCAAGCUGAUAUUCAUAAAAACUCUUCCAACAGAUAUUCAUAAAACGUCAUUUUCACAACAUGUUUGUUCUUCACUGAAACGAGUUAUAUAUCACUUUGUUUUUCACUGAUCAUUUUGCCUAGGUUUUGCGUCAGUUCGUCUUUUGAUCAUUUUGUUUCUACGAUUUUCCAUUUGUUUUUAUUGAAACAUUAGUUAAUAUAGUUUAUCUUUAUCAUUUUGAGGUUUAUUUAGAUAAUCAUUUCGUCAACAAAUAUAAUUUUUCAACAGGUUUAUUCUUCACUGAAACGAGUUAUAUAUCAUUGAAACGAGUUAUAUAUCACUAAAAUGAGUUUAUAUCAUUUUGUUUUUCACAGUUUGUCUCUUGAUCAUUUUGUUUAUAUGUAUUUGUAUCUUGAUAGUCAUGGUCGAUUUGACAAGAACCUCUCAUAUAACAUCUGGUGCAACAUCUGUUAAUACAAAUCAUAGAAGAAAAACUAGAGGUGGCAUGAUGUAUACCAAGGUGAAAAAAGCCCACGAAACCGGUGUUCGCUACCCAGUUAUAGUUGAUGCUGCAACCGACAAGGCUUAUGGUGAAAACAUUGAUGAUUUUAUGGCUUACAUUGCAUUACAAGAUAUAGUUAAUGUGAGCAUUUUGAUAUAUAGUUGGCACGAUGUUGAAGAGGACUUGAAAGACGCCAUAUGGGAAGAUGUUCAAGUAUUUUAUGAUUUGUUUGCAUGAUGUUGAUAGAUAGUUGACACGAUGUUGAAUGACUGACAUAUUGUCUUGUAUAUAUUAUCAUUUAUUUUUUGUUUAAUACUAAUAACUUCUCUAUUAUGUAAACAUAUGAAGUGUUCAUUGUUAGUCCAAAUGAUAAUAAUGUGAAAAAGAAGAUGCUUACAUAUUAUGGUGAGCGUUGGAGGGGUUUUAAGACACAACUCACCUAUGAUUAUAUUAAACAUGGAGAAGAUAGAGAAAAGCCUCCAUACAAUGUGUAUUCAUAUAUUGAUCAAGAUGUUUUGGAGAAAUUUGUAGAGUUUCACAACACUCUUUCCUUCUUGGCAAAGAGCCAAAAAGGAAAGGAAAAACGAGCUAGAAAUAUAUAUCGAAAACUUGAAAAGAAGAUGAUGGAAGAAAAAGAAAACAAAGGAAGGAAGAGCUGGGAGGUUCUCUAAGUCUUGAUCACACUCCAUCUCCACCAUCACACUAUGAGAAAUAGAAGAGGGCACAUCAAAGAAAAGACGACGAGUUCACAUCAGAUACUACGUGCGAAGUGGCUCAAAGGAUUAUAAGUAGAUAAUUUUUUCAAUAAUUUUAUUUUAGUUAAAUCAAUUUGUUAAAGAUUAAAUUUUAUAUGUGUUGAAGGAUGAUCUGGUUGAACAAACCGAAGUCAGCCUCUUCACUUCACAAGAUUGUCAUGACAUCUUGGUAGAAGCGAUUGGAACCGAGGAGCAUAUUGGGCGUGUAUGUGGUCUUGGAAGAGGCUUUGGCUUCAAGGUAUACUUUGGACCAUCUAAAUCUUCUAGAGAGAAAACCUGUAAAAGAGAGAUUAAAGAGAUUGUUGUUGUUGAGUUGGAGAAGGAAAGGGAGAAGCAAAAUAGGAAGUUGGAGGAUGAGAGGAAGAGGUGGGGGAAGAGUAGGAUAUGAAGAAGUUUGAGGGGGAGCAGAAGAGGUGAAGGGAGGAGCAUGAUAGGAGGUUGGAGGAGGAAAGGGAGAGGUUGUUGCAGACAGUGUGGGAGAGUUUCCAUAAGGAGCAGGAGGAGCGAGAGAGGAUGAUUGAGGAUAAGGUAUUUGAGAAGUGUACCUGCAAUGUGCUUGAGGUAUAAGUUGUUGUUAUUAUUAUUUGCGUAUUUUAAUUUUGGAUUGUAUUUAUGUUGUUUUUGUGAUGCAUAAAUUUAUUUUUUUAGGUCUAUUAAGCUACACAAAUUCAAAUCAGUUGAAAAUUUGAGAGAAUGAAGUUCAUAAAGUUAUGUGUCAUACAAGCGCGAAAGAAAGUUUUUCUGCCAACCAGGGCAGUAUUGAACCCACAACGUCAAAAGUAGAUAAUAGUGAGAGAGUAGGAAUAAUCAUUGACAGUAUUCCAGACUCAUGCAUGUGUAUUAUAUUAAGUCAUUAUCCAACUCAGUUAGUCGUACUUUCUAGGAUUUAUGUCCAUGAAUUUUUGUCGGGAAAUAUGUACCUAGAUAAUUCCGUAUUACAAAUUUGGUUCUUGUAAGUAUAGUUUUUAUGUUGAUCUCUAUUUAGAUUCUUACGUUCUCUCACUUUAACAUAAAGGUUUGCUCUUGCAGGUACCUCUAUGAGUUAUGUGUUGAAAGGAAAUUUCAAAACAAGUAUUGCAUCUUAGAUUCGGCGCAUAUUGGUCUUACUCGCGGUUCGACAGGGAAACAAUAUCCUUCUUUACUUAAAAGAUAAGUUGAAAGGGAACAUCAAAGAUUGUUAUUUGACCCUGUUUUACCGCAAGUAAGUAUAUAUUAAUUUUUGUUUUCAUUUACAAAUUAAUUUUAUACAUAUUAGUUAUUCUGAAUGUUUAUGCAGUUCGCAUUGACAACUAAUUAUUAUAUGUCCCAAGAAAAAUACUAUAAUUGUGUUUUGCUCGUUGCACUCUGAACUGUCAGAAGAAGUGGUUAACGCUUUGAAUGGGUAAGUAGUAUUAUUUUUAACUUUAGAGUUGAAUCAUUUUUAUUCAUGUUUAAUUUUAACCGACACGUGUAGAGCGACAGAGGAGUAUAAUGUACUCAAACAUAAUAUACUUGGUAAAAAGCCAAUCUAUGUUUCCCCAAAAGUAAGUAUAUUACUUGUGUUUUUUGACAUUAUAUUAUUUGUGUGUAUUAGUGUGAUAUAAACAUAUGAAAAUUAUUUAUAGUGGCGAAAAUAACCAGACAACCUUUCAUGUGGAUACUAUGUUAUAAGAUAUAUGCUCUAUAUUGUCUCCAAAAGCAUUACAAAUGGAUGGAUGAAACAUAAGGUAUUAACUUAAUCCAUAUAUUCUUAAUUUCAUGUUGUUGUGUUUAGCUUAUCAUAAUUUAAUUUUUGUUCUAAUUAUAGGAGUUUAACAACAAAACACCGUACUAAAAAAAAGAUAUGGAUGAUAUCUGAUCAUGUUGGGCCAGAGUCUUUUUAUCUUGUUAUGAUUCUCUAAAACAAUAGUUUUAUUGGGUUGUAAAUGUAUAAAUUUCCUUAAUUUGUUUUGUGCAAAUAUGUAAAUGUGUGUAUUUUGUCUUGAUGAUGCGAUAUAUUUCAAUUCUGUCGCAUAUUUUGUAGUUUUUGUGUAAAAAAUGAUACAGACAAAUGAAACUAAGAUUUAAAACAAUGUAAAUCUGGUAUUCAUUGGUUAAUAGAUUUAUAAUUAUAUGAUACACGCCAGUGAAAAUGAUACAUGCAAAAUUAUGUAGGCUAGUGAAAAUGAUACAAACAGAAAUGAGAUUUUAUCCCCCGGUUAUUACUUAAAACCGAGGUAAAUGAAUAACUCAUUACCUCAGUCUUUAAAUACAACCGAGAGGUAUAUGACGCAUGCAACAAAAUUUAGAAAUUAAAAAAUACGUGGUUGGUGGGGAUCAAACUCAUGACCUUUUAAUUUCUUACCUCGGUUUUAGAAACACCAAGGUGACAAGUGAUUGAUUUUCAUGUCGUCUUUCGUUACCUGCCUCUGUAGCCGAGGUUAAAUGCAUUUUGCGACCGAUGUUAGAUGUGUUAUUUGUAGUAGUGAUUCUCUCUAUUCGCUAUUUAGAGAAUUAAACACACAUUAAUUCAACACUUGAUUUAAUUCAUCUUUUACAAAUAAUUAUUCAAAGGUGUAAGUGUUUUAAAUUUGAUACUUGGGGCGAACAAAUAAUUAUUCAAAGGUGUAAGUGUUUUAAAUUUGAUACUUGAUACUUGUAGAAGGUGACACAUGAGUUUCGAGUCGCCCAUUUAUCCGAUAAAUCGCUUAUUAAUUAAAUGUGUCACCGUUCUAUUGAAUAUUCUUCCUUCCUCAAGGAUAAGUCGUCUGAUGUGGGAACUGAGGAGUGACAUGUCCUCACCCUAUAAUAACAUGGAGGAAGUCGUGGGGUAGUGAAUCACACUCCUCUGAAAACCAGAAGAUAAACCAUUCAUUUUUUCAAUGGUUGUUAUUUCUAAGGAAGUCUUGAAUCCAAGUCCAAUGUGGUUAAAAAUACCUCAACACUAAAAUUGAGAAGGUUAACCUAACUCUUUUUUUUACUAAAAAAAAAACCUUACUUGAACACCAAAAUACACACGUAGAGAGCUUCUCAAUCUCAUAACAAACCUUAAACUCUCCUACAUCUCUUUAUCAGUAGAGAUUAUCACGCAUUUAUAUUGUAAAAUACACUAAAAAAAGUGUUUUUAGCUGGGAAUUAAAACCCCUUACUAAUGCAAAAAAAUCCAUCAUAAAACAAAAAUUUAUGAGGGGAUAUGACCCCUAGCUAAACAAGACAUUACAAUAAAUAGCUAGGAAAUAAGCCCAUCGCAAAACCAACUAAGAAAUAAGUCCAUCGCUAAAUGUAACUCAUAAAUUUCAGUCUACUACACUACAGGCGCAGGAACAGACUAGUGGCACAAACGUGUCAGUAUUUGUUAGGGGAUAAACCUCUAGCAAAUACAUCUAUGUUUUUCUUUUUGUGAGGGACAAAAUCCCUAGCUCAGGGUGUUGCUUAUAUAUGCUUUGGAAUUUGUGAGGUGAUUAACCCCUCAUAAAUAUAAUAAUAUAAUUAUAAUAAAAUACCAUCAAUAUAAUACUAAUAAUUAUAAUAAAAUAUCAUUAAUAUAGUUAUAAUACCAUUAAUAUCAUUAAAAUACACUUGCAAAUAUCUAUUAUCACUAACUUUUUUGAAAAGACAGAUAAUAACAUAUAUUAUACACUUACAAAUAUCUAUUAAUUAUCCAUUUUAUUAAACAUAUACUUUUAAAUAUAUACCCUUCAAAUAUAUUACUAAAUGAUUUAUAUCACAUAAUACUAAAUAUAUAUCACAUUAUACUUGAUAUUUUUAAAAUAAUUUAUAAAUUGUAAUUAUGUUUACUAAAAUAUAUUACUAAAUAAUAAUAAAUCUAUACUACUUUUUAUAUUAUUUUUAUUUAUUUUCAAAAUAUAACUUAUACUAUUUUCUUAAGUAUUAUUUAAAAAUUAAUAAUUAAAAACAGUAUAUAAUAUAAAAAUAAAAUAACAUUUUCUUAUAAUAUUAUUUAUCAAAUAAUACUUAAUAUUUCCAAAAAGAAAUUAAGUGUUAUGUUUACUAAAAUAAUACUAAAAUAUAUUACUAAAUAAUAAUAAAUAUAUACUAUUUUUUAUAUUAUUUAUUUUUAUUUUUGAAAUAUUAUUUAUAAUAUUUUAAAAGGUAUUAUUUUGAAGAUAAUAUUAUAUAAUAAAUAAUAAUAAAUUUUAUUAUUAUUAAAAAAUGAUAUAUAAAAGCAGUAUGUUAUAUAAUAUAUAAAUAAUAUAUUAUUUUAAAAAUAAUAUUAAUAUAAUACAUAAUAUAUAAUAUAUAAUAUAUCACAUUAAUAAGCAAUACUAAAUAAUAUUUAAUAUAUAAAAGUAGUUAUAUAUAAGCCGUAGAUUUUAAAAGCAGUAUAAAUAAAUAUAUAAAACUAGUAUGAUAUAUAAUAGUAAAAAUACUAAAUAAAUAUAUAAAAUUUUGUAUGUUAAAUAAUAUAUAAAUAAUAUAUUAUUUUUAAAAUAAUAUUACCAUAAUAUAUAAUAUAAAAUAUUAUUUUGAAAAUAAUACAUAAUGUAUUAUUUCUAUCAACUAUUAAUAAAUAUUAACUAAUAUUCAACAAAUAACAAAAAAUAUUUCGAUUUAAAAAAAAAUAGAGAAGAAAUAUGUAUCUUUGGAUAAAAAAUUAAAUAAUUCUAAACUUUUAAUUUUACUCUCCUUGCAAAAGUUAAAAUCUUUAUAGGAAAAAUGGAAAAUGAACAAAAUAAAUUAAAAUUAGGGAUUUCAUAUAUUUCAAAAAUCAAAAGAAAAAAAACAAAUAAAAAAGUUAUAAAAUUAUCUUUCAAAAGACAAAUUUAUUGAAGAGUUUUUGAUGAAAAAUCUGAGUUUGAUGAUGGAAGAGUGAGGUUAAUGGAGUGAAUUUGAGCGAAAAUGAAAAAUCAAAGAAAAAGAAAGAGAUGAUUUGAAGCGGUGAAGGUAAAAAUGGAAAAUUUGGUUCAAAUAUAUGGAAAUAUUUUGUGAGGGGCUCUCAACACUAAUUAAAGUGUCAUAAUUAACUAGGAACAACCCCUCACAAAUUACAAUUCCUUUGAGACAAUGUGCAGAAAAUAUAUGGCUAGGGGAUGCCCAUUACAGGUGUGCAUGAAUUCCAUUUAAUAUGAAUCAAUCUAUUUUUAUGAUUAUGGUUUAUAAAUCAAACCACUUCUCACAAAAACAAAUUAAAAAUUCCAAACCAGUUUCGAACAGGUUUAAAACCGAUUUUAAAUUGAUUUUGAUUUUAAUCAAAAUUAUUUAAUUUAAUUUAAAUUUUAUUUUCUUUAAAUUAAUAUUAAUUUUUAAAUUGAAAAACAUAAACAAAUUUUAUGAGGUUUUAAAAUAUUUUUCUUUUAAAAUUUAAAAAACAUUCAAAAAACAAUUUUAAAAAAAUAACAAAUAUUCAAAAAAAAAAGAAAAAUAUACAUAUAAAAAAAUUGAAAACAAUCAAAUUAUAUCCUAAAAAUGAAAAAAGUAUCUUAAAAAAUAAAUUAUUUCAAAAAAUAAAAAUAACUUAAUAGAAUAUAUCAAAUUACAAAAAAACAAUUUUAAAAAAUAAUAACAAAUAUUCAGAAAAAAAAAUAUAUACAUAAUAAUAUAUUAAUAUAUUAGAAUAUAUUAUAUAAUAUUAAUAUAUAAUAUAUAGGUAUCGUAUAACACAUAUAGGUAAUAUACAUUAUGAUAUAGAUAUAUAUAUAUAUAUAUAUAUUCCAAAAAAUAAAAAAUAACUGAAAAAAAUUAUUUAAAAAAAAUGGAAAUCGAAAAUAAAAAAAAAUCGGAAAAUAAAAAAUAGUUUCUAUUAUGAAAUUACAAAAAAUUAUUUUUUUAAAAUCUUUUUUUUUUGAAAUAAAAGUUUUUUUAUUCUGAAAAUUUGAAAAAAUAACCUUUUUGAAAAUUAAAAAAUUUUAUUUAAAAAAAAUCUCAAUCUUUUUACUGAAAAAAAUACAAAAAAAAAAUGAUUUUUUUUUAUUUAGAAGAAAAUAAUAAUUUUAUUUGAAACAAAAUAUCAAAUAUAAUUUUUCCGAAAAAAAAUUAUGAAUAUAAUAUUUUUCGUGAAAAGAAAAAAAAAUUCUGAAUUUUAUUUUUAAAAUAUUUUUUUUUAUGAAAUUUAAAAAAUUUAAAAUAUAAAAUUAAUUUAUAAUGUGAUAAAACAUGAAAAUAGACAAAUAUAAAAAUUUAACGAAUAGUAAAAUUUGAAUAUCCAAUAAUAAAACCAAAUUUGUAUAAUGAGUAACGGUUUAUAUUUGGAUAACAAAAUGGAUACUUAAAUUUUUAUUUUAGAGUUUGGUUUGGUUUCUUAAAAGUAGAACAAUUUGGAUAUCAAUUUGGUUAUGAAUAACCGGUUUUUUUGCACACCUCUAGUGUCUAUCGCAAACGUAAUGGAAAUAUUUAGUUAUGGGGUACCCUUCUCAAAUGUUAUCACAUCUAUUAAAGUGAUUGACGUAAGAUAGAUGUAAUGGUAGUCUGGUCUCAAAAUUUGCAUGGGAUUGCGUCUCACAAAAUUUAUUCAAUCUAUUAGUUAGGGAUGUCCCUUCAUAAAUGAUCAAUUUCAAAAUUCAAAAUCUCUUUCUUUAAUAUUUGUGGGGGAUUAUCACACACCAUUUGUUUAUUAAUUUUGUUUUUAAUUUUACGUAUUGUGAGGGAAUAAACUCCAAACACUAUAAAAAUUUAGUAUGGAGUCUUUUACCUCACAAAUAUCUUUGACUAAUCAAACAAUUUCUGAUAUUGAUAUGAAAUGAUUAAUAAUAAUAUUAAUGAUAAUUAUAACUUAAAGUUUAAUCAAAUGCGAGACUUAAGGCUACGGUCUCACUUGACAUACAUUUGAGUUGACCGUGUCCUAUAUUUGAUUGCAUGCUUUUAACUUGAAUUGCAAUUUAUCUUUUAUAAUUUGAAUAUUUGCUUACUAUUUAGGCAAAUAAAAAUAUUCUCUUGAUUUAAUUAGUUAAGCCACUUUCUUUUACUCACUCCGUUCCUUUUCAAAUGUAACUUUUUAAUUUUUUAUACAUUUCAAUUCCAAGACACCUAAUCAUUAUUGUUAUUUUUCAAAUAAUAAUUUUCUUUUUACUUAUAAUACUCUUAAUCAUUUAUUAUCUUCAUUUUAUUUUUUCUUUAUAUAUAAUAAUUACAUAUAGAUAAUUUUGACAAAAAAUACAAUUAAUACUAUCUUAAACUUUAUAAUUAAAAAUUAAAAAGAAAUAAUUUUUCUUUUAAAAAAUAAUACUUAAAAAAGAACAGAGGGGAGACAUGAUAUUUCAUAUUUGUGCUGAUUGCCGUUUUUCACAUGACGUGCCAUUCCCACUCAUCACAUAAAAAAAAAGUAACUUUUCAGUUUCAUUCCAUUAAUCCACAGUUCCCAAGGGCAAGCUUGUGGUGAUUGAAAAUGACAAAUAAAAAUUGAUUCUAUAAUUAUUCCAAACAUUUGACACUUGUCGUACAUAUGAUGAAAGAUAAAUGACACGUCAUACAUUCUAUUUGGAUAAGGUUCAAAAAAUGCGCAUGAUAUCCUAACGUGUAUCACCGUACCGUAUCUGUAACAAGUUUAAGGAUGAUUAAAAUUAAUUUUGGAGCAAGAAGAAAAUUGACAAGUAUUAUAUCAUGUCACACCUAACUAGACGCAAAUUUCAAAUAGUGGGUCAAUUAAUCCACUUACAUACUGUAUGAUAUAAGCUUGUGAUUUGUGAGCUGUUAAUCUCCUAAGCAUGACAGAUACACUAUGAUUAUUUUAGUUGGUAGGGCAAUUAAAAAUCGGUAAGUAACCACUAAUCAAGUAAACGUGUGUAUUAUCGUCACCGACACAACACAACCAUGUAAACCACAUUUCUUAAAUCCUUGCCUGCACCUUCUUACUUUGUUUUUUACUCAAUUUCAAAUUUUAUAAUUAUUAUUAAUUUAACAUGUUUGCCUUCUGUUUUGUAAGGCAAAAAUCGUGGACGAAAUUUUGUGAUUUAUUAUUGUUAUUUAUUUUAAUUAUAAUAUUUUUAAUUUUAAUUUUAAUUUAAUUAGUUUGGAUUUGUUUUGAUUGAUUUAAGAGGAUCGGACCUAAGUAAGGGUAAUACAAUUCUUAAUUCACGGUCUUAUUUUAUUUUUAAAAAAAUUAAAAAAUAUAUUUAAUAUUUAUAUUAAAUAAAUUAUAAAUUAGAAAAUAAACAUGAAUUUAUUAUUAAAUAGUAAAUUUUUAUUUUAAAAUAUAGAGUAAAGAUUGUGGGUUCAAUCCUUGUUAUAUCUUUUUAAUCAUUAUUGCAUAGUUUUUUUAUUAUUAUGAUAAGUGUUAGUGACUUAAACUAUUUAAAGAUGAAUAAAAAAUAUAAAAAGUAAAAUAAAAUUGAAGAUUUUAUGUUUUUCUUUUAUUUUUUAAUCAUUGAUUCUUUUGAUUUUGUAAUUGUUAAUUUUUUUUAUUUUUUAUUUUAAUUUAUUAAUUGUUUAAUGAUAUUUUGAUGACACUAAAAUAUAAAGAUUUAAUUGAUGAAUUUGCUUAAAAAAAUAUUUGGAGAAAUAAUCUUUUUAAUUUAUUAUAAAUUUUAAGUUGUAUGAAAUGUUCUUUUUAUUAUAGUUCAAACAAUACUUCGAGUUUUGUUGUUGUUUCACUUGGUUAAUAUAUAGUUGUAUUUUUCAAUACAUUAGUUUUAAUUAUUAAAAUUAUAUUUAUAUUUAAUUUAGGCUUGUUUUUUAAAUUAGAACAUGGUCUUCUGAUAGAUUGGAUCGAUCAUGAAUAGUAACACGUGUGAUUAUGUUUAAUUUAUUUAAUUUUUAAAAUUAUUAUCAUUGUUAACGUGUUGAUGUCGUGUACGAUAUUUGUGUCGUGUACGCUGCUGAAGAUGUGCAUACCACGGUUGCUCUUGCUGAUUUUAUAGAAAAAUAGGGAAUUUCGAUUUUGUAGGGCGACGUCCACUAUUUAGUCCCUAAAUAGAGGCUUUCGAUCCUUGAUUUUUUCCUAAUAAAUCGACAAAAAAUCAGAAUAAUCUGAGACGAUUUUCUUAAAAAUAGAAAGAAAGAAAAAUUCCUAAACCGCGAAAGGACCAGAACGCAAGAAAGUUAGGGCAAAGAAAAUGUUAAAAUACAAUAGCUAUAAAUAUAAUAAUGGUUAGACUAUAAUAAUAGUUAAAAUCUACAAGAGUCCCCGGCAACGGCGUCAAUUUGAUCCGCUGUCGCGCGCGGGUCAAAACGAGUGUUUUUCAAAAACGUAGUACGGCGAUAAUUUUAACUCGGAUAUCGUUCUCACAAGGAUUCUUGAUUAUUAUUAUUAUUAUUAUUAUCCAAAGGUAAAUCGAAUUAAGGGGGGUGGGGGGUUGUUUGGUUUGGUGUUCGAUUAAGAAAAAGUGAUUAUUAAAAGUAAUUCUUGAAAUAAGCUAUUAUGAAAUAAGUAAUUAUGAAAUAAUUCAAUCUACCGAUUUAGUUCCUACUAUCAUUGAUUAAUAUAAUUUAAUACCCUAAGUGAAUUGUAUAUUCCUAUUUGGAUACAAACUCAAUGACAAGCGCGGUGAAGUUUGUGAGAUGUAUGAUCCUAUUGUCCGAAUUAAGCAAACGGGAUAAGUUUUCAUGGAUUAAGCAAACAUGAUUGAUCAGACACAAUUGUGAGAUGUAUGAUCCUAUUGUCCGAAUUAAGCAAACGGGAUAAGUUUUCAUGGAUUAAGCAAACAUGAUUGAUCAGACACAAAAACGAAUUAAGCAAACGUGACGUGCCUAUGUUAGGAUCAUAGAAUCAACCAAAUUGAAUCAAUAUAUUUCAUGCAAUCGAAUUAAGCAUACAAGAACACAAAAUAUCUUUGAAAGGAAUUAAACUAAAAUUAACAUUAUAAUAAUCUCAAGUUUUGGAACCUGAACUAUGGCAGAUCGAAUCAGAGGGAUUAGUUCUCCAUGGAAUUCGUACAAGCUUUCAAAUUUUCGUGAGUAGUGAUACCGUGUACUGUUUUCGGCUGCUUAGGUUAUAGGAAAAGUAGAAUAAAUCUAAUUUGGUCAAAAUAUAACCCAGGCCCAAACUAAAUAACCCAACACAAAAUAUAAAUAUAGUGCUGAAGGCUUCAACGGAUUUUUCAACCAUGCUACAGUCCGAAUUAGCUUCUGACUUCUUCAUGAAAGUCGUAGCUCUUUCUCUUAGCUUUCCAACGACUGGUAGCACGCCUCGAUUUGAUACUCCUAGCUCCAGUUAUGAAUUUAUUUGUGCAGACUGCUAAUGCUGAAAAUAAACUGCGAAAAACAAAUAAGUGUAAAAAUAAGAUAAAUUAUAAAAACACAUUAAAAGGGAAAAAUAACCAAAAAAAACAAAUAAGUGUAAAAAUAAGAUAAAUUAUAAAAACACAUUAAAAGGGAAAAAUAACCAAACUAAAACAUGGAAAUGCAUAAGUAUAAAUAUAGAAGAAUGUGCAUCAAAAUGCACUGAUCAUAUUUCCAUUAAGUCCCACUUGUAUUUAAGCAAGUGAGUGGUGUGAGCAUUAGUACCUUUUAUUCCUUUUGUUGUGUGUGUGCUUAUGUGUGUAUUAUGUAACUGUUUUGAGUAGUGGAACUUUGUUAUUAUUAUUUCUUCUCUCUCUUGUUUGUUUCAUUGUUCAUCUUUAUCACCUUAUGCACCAACAAUUGGUAUCUAGAGCUCCGGUUCAAAUCCACGGGGAAACACCAUGGAAAACACGAGUGAAACGGUGAGGCAUUGUGUGAUUGAUUUAUGUUUGGAGAAUUCGUGUUGAAUUUUUUAUUAGAAUUGUAACAGAAUCACAUAUCUUGAUUUUGCGGGAUUGGGAACAUUGUGUUUAGGUGAGAUCUAAGUUUAUUGCAUAAGGUUGAAGAUGAACAAAAACGGGAAUCUGAGUACGAAGCUUCUAGUGUUCGAUGGCAAGAACUGGAAUGUUUGGUGAUUCAGAUGUGUGUGUUGUUUGGAGCUCGAGAUGUUCUUGAUCUCAUCAACAACUAUUACAUUCAGGUUACACUUCCAGAAAAUGCAACAGAUGCAUAGAGAAAUGCUAAGUCUGAUCUGAGGAAGAAGGAUCAAAAGGCUCUGUUCUACAUCCAUCGGUGUGUGGAUGUGAACGUGUUUGAGAAAAACGUUGAUUCGACGACGGCGAAAGCUGCAUGGGACACACUGGUGCGGUACUACGAUAGCGAUGCAUUAGUGAAGAAGGUGAAGCUUUAGUCACUACGUAAGCAAUAUGAGAACCUCAGCAUGAAGAACAAUGAGAAGGUACCUAAAUACAUCUCCAUAGUGAUUCUGAACACAAAUAAGAUGAAGUCGUGUGGAGAAACUCUCUCUGAAGAAAGUAUCAUAGAGAAGGUGCUUAGAUCUCUUACUCCUCAACUUGAUUACAUUGUUGUAACAAUUGAACAUUUUAAUGAUUUAAGCAUCAUGAGAAUAGAAGAGCUGCAAAGCAGUCUAGGGGGCAAGAGUUGCGUUUAACUGAAAAAAACCUCUGAGAGAGAGGUAGAGUAAGCUCUGAAAGAUUCUUUUGUCAAUAAAAACCAGAAGCAGUCUUGGUCAGAAGCCAAGAAAAGACAUGGUAGGUCUCAGAAGUCAGAAACCUCAACUUCUAGGAGUCUGAAGGGAAAGGAGAAGUAUGACAAGAGAAAAGUUCAAUGUUACUGUUGUAAAAAGUUUGGCCACUUCGCUGCAAAUUAUUGGUCAAAUAAGAAUAGAAAAUCAGAAGAAGUGAAUAUAGCCAGAAGUUCUGAUGAUGAACAUGUGUUAAUAAUGGCUUCUGAUUCUGAUGGUGCGUCUCUAGAAGACUGGUGGUAUAUGGAUACUAUUUGUUCAAACUAUCUUACUGGAAAUAAGAAAUGACUGGUUGAUUUUGACUCUAGGAAGAGGACCAAGAUCAGAUGUGCUGAUGAUAAGUAUUUGAACGCUGAAGGAAUGGGGAAUGUUAGAGUGAUUCUGAAUAAUGGCAAAUCUAUGUUAAUUUAGAACGUCUAGUAUCUUCCUGGCAUAAAGAGAAAUCUGAUAAGUGUAGGUCAAUUAAUUGAAAAAGGAUUCUCAGUUAGCAUGAAGGGAAAUCUUUUGAAGUUGUAUGACUGUAAUUAGAAGUUGAUUAUGGAGUCAGAACAUGGAAGGAAUAGAACAUUCAAGGUGAAUAUUCAAACUGCAAACUCUUAAUGCCUUAGUACAACAAGUAUUGUGAAGAAAAGUGAGUUGUGGCACAAAAGAUUUGGCCAUUUGAACUUCAGAAGCCUAGGGCACCUGAAUUCAAAGAAACUAGUACAUGGAAUUCAUGCAAUUAAGAAACCAGAAAAGCCAUGCAAUGUGUGAAUGAGAGGGAAGAAACUAAGACUAUCAUUUGCAUCAGAAGUAGCUCCAAGAGCAAAGCAUGCUUUGGAAGUAAUGCAUUCUGAUGUGUGUGGACCAUUUCUAAAACCUUCACUAUGAGGGAAUAAAUACUUUGUGUCAUUUAUGGAUGAGUUCACAAGGAUGACAUGGGUAUCCCUUAUAAAGUUCAAACACGAGGUGCUUGUUGAAUUUAAGAGAUUCAGAAUCAAGGCUGAGAAAUAGAGUGGUUAGACUCUGAAGAUUCUCAGAACUGAUGGUGGAUGUGAGUAUAACUCUACAGAGUUCAAGAAGUUCUGUGAGGAGAAUGGAAUUGAGCAUGAAGUGAUUGCUCCAUAUACUCCUUAACACAAUGGUCUUGUUGAAAGGAGAAACCGAACUUUGCUUGAUAUGGCAAAGAGCAUGUUGAAAGAGAAGAAGCUUCCUAACACUUUUUGGGGAGAAGUUGUUGCCACUACAACCAAUGUGCUAAACAGGUGUCCAACCAAGAAGUUGAAGGAAAUUCUUCCUUUUGAGAGGUGGACUCGAGAUAAGCAAAGUGUGAGUCAUUUUAGAGUAUUUGGGUAUGUCUGUUAUAAACGCAUUCCAGAUGAUACUAGAAAGAAGCUGGAUGAUAGAAGCAAGGUGAUGUUACUGGUGGGGUAUCACAGUACAAGUGCUUAUAAGCUUUAUUGUCCAUUCACUAAUAAGGUUGAAGUCAACAAAGAUGUUGUUGUGAAAGAGUCAGAAGUAUGGGAUUGGAGCAAGUCUCAAUCCAACUCCGGUGCAGAGUUAACUUCUGAAGAUAUUGAUUCUGAUUCUGAAAAUGAGUCAGAGCCUGAAAAUGAUUCUGAGAGUGAGUCCGAAAUAGAAGCCGAAAUUGAUUCUGAAUAAGAAUCUGAUUCUAAUCCAGAUUAUGGUGGUGAGUCAGAUUCUAGUGGUAGUCCAGAUUCUAGGAAUACUCUAGAUUUUGAAGGUGGUCAUGCUUCUGAAGUCAGUACUUCUAGAGUUCCAGCAUCUCAUAUUUUUCCAGUAUCAAAAGGUUCUGAACAAGUUCAGAGGCCACAAAGAAUCAAAAACAUUCUGAGAAGACUUGUAGAGUUUGAUGUGCUGCAAGAUACUGAAGUAGAUUCUGAAGGGGAAAUUAUUCAAUGUGCCAUGUUAGUAGAUUCUUAACCCAUGAGUACGGAAGAAGCUCUCAAUAAGAAAGUCUGGAUGAAGUUAUAAGGUGAAGUUAAAGCCAAAUGGAUCAAUUUGCAAACACAAAGCAAGGUUAGUCGUGAGAGGUUUUCUGUUGAUGACAUAUUACUAACAGGAAGUUGUGAACAUGAGAUAACUAAGUUCAAGAAGGAGUUGAUGAAUGAGUUUGAGAUGACUGAUCUAGGAAAUAUGGUUUAUUUUCCAGGGAUGAAGAUUAUGUACUCUGAGAAAGACAUAAUUUUACAUCAACUGGAAUAUGAACUUGAGUUCGGAAGUAUGGAGUUUUAUUCCCUUCUGGUGCUGAAACUAACUCAGAACUUUUGAGUUACUCAGAUUCUUAUUAGUGUGGAGACAGAGUUGACAUAAGAAGUACUUCUGGAUACUUGUUUAAAUUUCUGGGAAGUCCUAUUUCUUGGUGUCCCAAGAAAUAGCCAGUUGUUGCUUUGUCAACCUGUGAAGGAAAAUAUAUUGUAGGUGUUGUGACUGCAUGUCAAGUUGUGUGGCUUCUGAAUUUACUGUAGAAUCUGAAGAUCAAAGUAAACAAGCCUAUGAAGCUGAUGAUUGAUAACAACUUUCCAAUCAAUCUUGCCAAGAAAUCAGUGUUGCAUGGGAGAAGCAAGCAUAUUGAGACUAAGUAUCACUUUCUGAGAAAUCAGGUUCAAAAUGGAGUGCUAGAAGUUGUGCAAUGUAGCACACAGAAGCAGUUGGCAGAUGUUCUGACGAAGACGAUCAAGACUAAUCAAUUUCUCCGCUUGAGGGGUAAAAUUGGUGUUGUUAGUUUUGGUUAAGCUGAAUAUGAAUUAAGGGAUGUUCUGACGAAGGCGAUCAAGACUGAUCAAUUUCUCCGCUUGAUGGAUGGAAUUAGUGUUGUUAGUUUUGGUUAAGGUGAAUAUGAAUUAGGGAUGAUGUUAGAAUUAAUUUAUAUUUUCAGAAACUUGUUGACAAAGUUUGUUAGAGGGUAUUUUAGUAUUUCCAUUAAAUCUCAUUUGUAUUUAAGCAAGUGAGUGGUGUGAGCAUUAAUAUCUUUUAUUUCUUUUGCAGUGUUUGUAUUUUUCUGUGUAACUGUUUUGAGUAGUGAAAAUUUGUUAUUAUUCUCUCUUCUCUCUCUUUUUUGUUUCAUUGUUCAUCUUUAUCACCUUGUGCACCAACAACCUUCGAAAUGUUAAGAUGUGAAUUCUAAAAUUCAAAAUAAAAACAUCAUGACAAAAAAGAAAGAAAAAUGAAAGGGUGUAUGGAUUAUUCGAAGUUUUCGAAUUCUAGAAUUGUUAAGAUUUAAAAAACAUGAUUCAGAAUUUAGAAUCUCAGUAGUAUUUUCAGCAGUUUAAGGAGAUUUUGAUAGUAUUUGAGAUAAAAGAAGUGCAGCAAUGUAUAUAAUGUAAAAAAUAUCUCCUCUCAAACUUACUACAUUCUUAGAAAGCUCCCAGUUUUUUUUUCUGGUCUUUUAAAUUUUUCAUAAUUUUUACUCCUUCGAAUUCAAUGAUGGUCAAAUUGUAAAAUACAAUUUUUUCUAUAAAAAAAAUUAUACCUUUGGAUUGACCGAUCUUAAAUAUAAAAUAUUUAUUCAAUUCUUCAGAUUUCUUGUUCAAAUUAGGUGUAAAAUGCAGAUUCUAAGUUUAUUUUCUACAUCUCUCUGUUCAAUCAAAAACUACAAAAUAGUUAUUCGAUCUAAUACCAACAACAAAAGUCAUUCCAUCAAGUGGGAUCUUUAAAACUUAACUUGAGUUCGGCGCAAAUAUUUUUUAAAUUCAAAUUCGAUUCAUUUUAAAUUCACGAGCAAUUCGAUUCGAAUAGUUAGAUUUAUCUCAUUAAGUUUAAAUAAUUUUUUUAUGAAUUUAAAUAUAAAUUUCAUUUGAUAUAGAACUUUUAUUAAAUAAAAAAGAAAUUUAAUCUUUUUUUACGUAUAAUAUUGAUUUUAUUUAUAUAAUUACUUUUUAAAAAUAUUUUAUUCACAUGAAAAUAUAAAUGAUUAAUUAAAAAUGUUAUAUUAUAAGAAAAUAGAUCGCUAAAUUUUAAAGUAAGUCAAUAUAAAUCACUUUUAAAACUUAUAUAACUUUUCUUAUAUAUAAUUAAUUUGAUUCACAAACCUAACGAAUACAACUAUUCAUAAAGUAGAAUUAUGCAUAGUUCAACUCAUUUAAUUGAUAAAUUAAUUUUUUUUUUCUUCACAUAUUUAUUUAUUUUUUCUUCAUAUUUUUUAAAAUAAUUUAUGAACUUAAUUCUUCUGUUUAUUUGUAUAAUCAAUAUUUAUUUAUUUUUUCUUCAUAUUUUUUAAAAUAAUUUAUGAACUUAAUUCUUCUGUUUAUUUGUAUAAUCAAAUUUCAAAUUAUAUUCAAGUUGGUUCUUAAUUUUACUUUUUAUUUGUAUAAUCAAAUUUCAAAUUAUAUUCAAGUUGGUUCCACUUAUUCUUUGACUUGCUAUUUCUAUCCAAACCAUAUAAAAAAUGAUAAUUAAGAAAUUCAAUGCAAAAAUCAUAUAUUAACUUUUUAGAAAGUUUCAAAUUCUUUCUUGUAAAUAUAAACUUUUUUAUUUUAUUUUUAAAUUUUUAACUUGUACCCUAAAUUAACACCCUUCUUAAAACACAAACUUAUGUCCAGAUCCUAGAAGAGUGCAACUUCAAGAAAUAAGUGAAAUACGUCGUUCUAAGUAUUUGUUUCUCAUAUCCGAUGAAUAAGAUAUCAGAAAUAGAGAUGUCCAUUCUAAAGACACUUGUUUCAUUGGUCCCUUUAGCAUUAUGUUUAUACUAUUCCUCAUCUUGUUUAUUUUCUAGUGCCUUUAGUAUUAUGUCUCUAUACUCUUCCUCAUCUUUUUCAUUUUCUAAUUUGCUGGCAACCAACAUCCAUCAUUUUGAUUGUUCCUUUAUAUGUGCACAGUGCACACUGGGUUCUCGAGCUGACGCUAGCAAAAAAAAAAACCUAAGCGACCUCAAAGAGCCCAGUAUGCCACUUACAAAAAGUUAACUUAUUCUUAUGUAAGUGAAAAGGGUAACUUAUAAAUUCUGUUCUACACAAGUACUUCCAGAUAUAUUUACUGAAACUGGAUCUAAAACACCAAUUAAUGCUGCAGCUUAGCAUUGUUAAGACACCACCAAAACGUUGUUCAGAGUCUCAGAUCAUGAUAGACUACACUAUGAAUAACAAUAGCAACCGAUCUUUCAAGGAUCCAAUGUGAAAAAGUCAUGCAUAUAAAUGACAAAAUAUAAAGGAAACAUAAUAAAGCAUCAGAUAGAAGAAACAACAAUGCAAGCCAAAAUACAGAAACAAACAGAUGGGUGCAGAACUACUCUAAACCAUGUACCCAAACUCCCACUACCGUCACCUCCAUUUUCCCAAUUUGGAAUUUCCAUUCUCUCCACAUCAGGCUCAUAACAAGAAUUCCUCCGGAUAUGCUAAUUACAAUGCAAUCUUCACUAAAGAUAGAAGAGUACUGCUGAACACACUUACACGUCAUACUUAGUAACUUAUUUUAUUCAUAUCCAUGCUCUGGCUCUUCUUCCUCCUCGUCCUCAUAUUCUCCUUCUUCAUCAGCAGUGGCAUCCUGGUACUGCUGGUAUUCAGACACAAGGUCAUUCAUGUUGCUCUCUGCUUCUGUGAACUCCAUUUCAUCCAUGCCUUCACCAGUGUACCAAUGCAAGAAAGCCUUCCUCCUAAACAUAGCAGUAAAUUGUUCGCUCACCCUUCUAAACAUUUCCUGAAUGGAAGUUGAAUUACCAAUGAAGGUAGAAGCCAUGGAGAGACCUCUAGGAGCAAUGUCACAGACACUUGACUUAACAUUGUUGGGGAUCCACUCAACAAAGUAGGAAGAGUUCUUGUUCUGGACGUUAAUCAUUUGUUCAUCCACCUCUUUGGUGCUCAUUUUACCCCUGAACAUGGCAGAUGCAGUGAGGUAGCGGCCGUGCCUGGGAUCAGCAGCACACAUCAUGUUUUUGGAAUCCCACAUUUGCUGGGUGAGCUCAGGAACCGUCAAAGCACGGUACUGCUGAGAGCCACGGGAGGUGAGAGGUGCAAAACCAACCAUAAAGAAAUGCAGCCGAGGGAAUGGGAUGAGAUUCACAGCCAGUUUCCGGAGAUCAGAGUUGAGUUGACCAGGGAAACGAAGACAGCAGGUCACACCACUCAUAGUAGCUGAGAUCAAGUGGUUCAAAUCACCAACUGCAACAAAACAAACAAUCACACAUUUUCAAUAAUCACAAACAUCAACAGAAGUUACCCAACAAUUGAAAAAUCAGCUGCAAUCAAAUUUGCUUAAAACAUAAAUAAACAGUCUAAUGGAUUCCCAAAAAUCAUUUUACGGUCAAACCAGUUAAUCAAAUCCCAUAAAUGAAACUUGGGAAAGCAAUUUGACUGAAAAGUGCACAAUGAAAAGAAAAGAAAAAUCCAUUAUUAUUAUUCAAGAACCACAACUAAACCAGAAAAAGUGAUAUACACAAGUACUCAAUCAAUUGACAAAUAAAUAAAUCAUCAAAGCCAAAGUGUAUCAGUGAUGUGAUGGAAUCAAAUCCAUAUCAAGUGAUGAACAAUUGCAACAAGCAUCUAUAAUCCAGAAUAAGUCAAUUCAAGUCCUCAAACAAGUCUUACACAGCCAAUUCAAUAAUUCAAUUCGCAUAAUAGAAUAAUAAUUUAACUAAAUAAAUGCAAAUUAAGGACAGUUGACUCCUUUGACCAAAACAAAUGCACAAAGAAUCAUUAACAUGUGAAGCCUCUAAGCAAUCUACAAUGCCAUCAUUACAUCUCCUAUCUAGUAACAAGCAACGUAAAAGAAAUUUAGAUCGCAUGAAAAGAUAACAAUACUCACAGCUAGGAGUGGUCAAUUUGAGAGUCCUGAAGCAGAUAUCAUAAAGAGCUUCGUUAUCAAGAACCAUACAUUCAUCAGCGUUCUCCACCAACUGAUGAACUGAGAGAGUAGCAUUGUAAGGCUCAACAACAGUAUCAGAAACCUUAGGCGAAGGAAACACCGAGAACGUGAGCAUCAUCCUAUCAGGAUACUCCUCUCUAAUCUUGGAUAUCAACAGUGUUCCCAUUCCAGAUCCCGUUCCUCCACCUAACGAAUGACACACCUGAAACCCUACCAAAAAACAAAAUCAAAAUUAGUAACCGGAAUUACACAAAAAUCAUCGAUCCGGUUCAUAUCACUGAUCAUUGAUAAGUACGGUUCAGUUAAACUACCUUGAAGACAGUCGCAAUUCUCAGCUUCCUUUCUAACAACAUCGAGGACCGAGUCAAUAAGCUCAGCGCCUUCAGUAUAGUGUCCUUUCGCCCAAUUGUUACCAGCGCCGGACUGACCGAAGACGAAGUUAUCCGGACGGAAGAUCUGGCCGUAAGGACCAGUACGGACACUGUCCAUGGUACCAGGCUCCAAGUCCAUGAGGAUGGCGCGUGGAACAAACCUUCCACACGAUGCUUCGUUGUAGUAGACAUUCACGCGCUCGAGUUGCAGAUCUGAGUUUCCGACGUAUCUUCCAGUCGGAUCUAUGCCGUGCUCGUCGCAAACAACCUCCCAGAACUUUGAGCCGAUCUGGUUACCGCAUUGUCCUCCUUGAACGUGAAGGAUUUCCCUCAUUUUGUUCGUUUUUUCUGUGAUUUAAACAGUGAAAAGGUUAAUUUCAGAAAUAUUCAACAGUGAGAGAGAGAAAUUGAUGAAACCAGAUCUAGAUGUAGAGAGAGAGAGAAAGAGAUAAACCUGUGGCGGUGAGGAAGAUGAGUGAGAGAGUGAGGAGUGAGAAUUUGGGAGCAGGGAAAUGCUUGAGCGGGAUUUUUAUAGCGAGAGAGAGUGAGAGUUUGGACUAACGUAUUAAUUCAAGUUUGUUCCCUCGCUUUGUGUUGAAAAGAAAUGUGAGCCGUUCGAUGGAAUCCUGCCGACGGUGGAGAUUGAAAUAUUUGAUUAUUUAAAUUUUGAAGGGUUGUUUGGUAUUGGUGCAGAGUAAUUGUGUUAGGACAGAUAUACCCUUUUGUUGAAUUACGAAAUGGUCCUUUUUCGGUAGAUAGAUUAAUUUUAGAUGGGGAACAUGGAAGGGAGAGGUACGAAAAAUAAGGGUAAGAAGAAUAAUUUGGACGUGCUAACUGCUUGGGUUGUAAAGUCUAUGUCCGUGUCAACCAAAUCCGUCAUUGAGAGAGACCUAUGAUUUGUUUCUUUCUCAUUUUUUCUUCUUUAUUUGUAAAAUUUGAAAGAGAAAUUCUCCCUCUUUUGUUAAUUACGGCCUUCAUCUCAAAAUAAUUUAGUUUUAAAAAAAUACUAACAUAUUUUUUAGACUGGCCGCCGGUUGUUAUUAAUUUUUAACAUGACAAUAAUGGGUGAUAUUUUUCAAAAGUUUAUAUACAUUAAUGCUUUUUAUAAAAAAUAAUUAUAUUUUAAGUAUAAGAAAACAUAAACUAUAUUUCUCUCUUAUGAUUUUCAAUAAAUUUUAAAUAUGGUAGUAUAAGUUUAUUUAAGUAUAUUAUUUUUUAACUGUAGUCCUUAUAAUUUUGUAUGUUUACUUUUUAUCCUUACAAUUAUAUAUUACUUUACAUUUAGUUUUUGUUCCAAUUUAAAAAGAUAAAAUAAUUUUUAAUGCGUCCAUAAUCUAAGGUUACGUCGUCCUUAAAAAAUCAAAAAAGAGAAAAAAAUAUUGUAUUUUUGAGAUUAUUUGAUCAUCAGGAAUGUCCAUUAUUUUUGUAGUGGUCUAAAUUUCAUUAUUUAAGAGAAAAUAUAUUGAUAAAUAAUAUAUACAUAUUAUUCAAAAAUGGUACUUAAUUUUUGUUUAAUUUUUUAUUUUUGGUGAAUCUUGAUUUUUAUUACUUUAAUUUAUAAUAAAUUUAUUUUUUUAAUUAUCAAACUAAUCGUUAUUUAACUUAAUCAUUAUCCAAACUAUUAAUUAUUGUCAUUAUUCAAAACACUUAUUAUUAAAAAUAUACAAUAUUCAAACUAAUUGUUAUUCAAAUUAAUCGUUAUUAAAAGUAACUGAUAGUUAGACUAGUUAUUCAAAAUGGUAGUAGUUGUUAUUAUUCAAGUAUUAUCGUGUGUGUGUGUAUAUAUAUAUAUAAUAUAUAUAUAUAUAUAUAUAUAUAUAUAUUCUUGUAUUCUAAGUGUUUCGUACUAGAGUUAUAGAAAUGUUUAGAUUGAACAGACUUGAGUUUCGAUGUAAUGGAGCGAACUUUUAAUACCUAUGAGUGAAGUGGACAUGCAAGGUUAACACUUCAUCGUUAAGUUACUAAAUGAAAGAGAAAGUAGUUUGAGUGUAUGAAUGAGAUUAUAUUUGGAAUGGCGUGUGUUAAACAUUAUAUAGUGUGGAUGGUUAGAGUUGACCCCGCAUGACUCGGUGCAUUACUCGAGGGACUAUUCGAUUACAUCUGAUAGUGGUGAAUGCUUUAAGUCGCCAAUGCUUAGGCAUGCACAUUUUGGGAUUAGGCUUCAUUGUGAUUGGCCUUUAUCGCCUUUGGGCCUAUGGUCGGCCAAGAAUAGUUUCCCCCUAACUUUAUCCUUGCAUAGGGAUAAAAAGACUUUUCAUAAUACUAGGUCAUUGUCCCAUUCAACUAUGGUCCAGGUGACAGAUUCUUAUCUUGCAAAAAUGGAAAGUUCAUCCAUGAAGGUUGUGAAGGAAUCCAUGCUAAAAGGCUUGCUAUGGCUAAAAAGAUCAUUUGAGUUGGUUAUUACUAGACAAUCAUGGAGGUUGAUUGUUACAACUUUGUCAAGAGAUGUCAUAAGUGUCAGAUCUAUGCUGACAAAGUCCAUGUGCCACUAACUCCAUUGAACAUCUUGGCUUCUCCUUAGCCCUUCUCUAUGUGGGGUAUUGAUAUGAUUAGGAUGAUCGAACCGAAGGCUUCCAAUGGUCAUCAUUUCAUUUUGGUUGUUAUUGAUUACUUCACCAAGUGGGUUGAAGUUGUUUCAUAUGCAAAUGUCACACGACAAGUGGUUACGAGGUUCAUCAAGAAAGAAAUAAUAUGUUGAUAUGGUGUUCCUAGCAAGAUUAUCACUUACAAUGUCAGUAACCUGAACAACAAAAUGAUGAAAUAGUUCUGUCAAGAGUUCAAGAUCGAGCACCACAACUCUUCACCAUACCGAUCCAAGAUAAAUGGUGUCGUAGAUGCAACAAACCAAAACAUCAAGAAGAUUGUCCAGAAAAUGGUCAAGACUUAAAAAGAUUUGCAUGAAAUGCUUCCCUUUGCACUUCAUGGCUAUAGGACUUCAGUACGUACUUCUACUAGGGAAACUCCAUUUUCCCUCGUAUAUGGCAUGGAGGUUGUACUCCCAAUCGUGGUGGAAAUUCCGUCAUUAAGGGUUAUUAUGGAAGCCAAACUUGAUGAAGCUGAAUGGAUCCAAUCGUAAUAUGAUCAGCUGAAUCUCAUAGAAGAAAAGCGCUUGACGGCUCUCUAUCAUGGUCAGAUAUACCAAAGACGUCUCAAGAAAGCUUUUGACAAAAAGGUUCGUCCUCGAGUAUUUCAAUAAGGCGACCUCGUGCUCAAGAAAUACUCCCUUAUACACUCGGAUCCACGAGGCAAGUGGACUCCCAACUACGAAUGACCCUUUGCCGUAAAAAAUUCCUUCUCAAGCGGAGCUCUGAUCCUCACCACCAUGGAUAGGAAGGAGUUUCCACUUCCCGUGAACUCCGACGCAGUAAAAAAAUACUAUGCCUAAAAAGAAAUGAAUAAGAGUAUGCUAGAUUGACACCCGUAAGGACAAUCUAGGAAAAAAUGAGUAUCCCAAUGGAACAAAAAAAAAGAAAUGUCCAUGAAAAAGUUAGGGAUCAAAACACAAAAAAAUAUAACAUCCCGCUAAGUCGAAAACCCGAAAGGCACGACUUAGGCAAAAAUGGGCAUCCCAAUGGACAAAAAAAGAGAGAAAAAAUAUCCAGACAAAAGUUAGGGAUAAAGGCAUUUGACAACACUUUAGCCUACUUUAUCACAACUAGAUCUCAGACGUCAACGGAUUGAUCCAGUCAUCGUCAACCAAAGCGAAGUGUUGGGACCAAGAUCUUACAGGAGAUGGUAGCAUAUGUUGUAACCAAUGGAAAUUCAUAUAAAUUUCCCAUUGUCGUUUACCUUUAUUUUUCAAUUUUUGUAAUUUCCUCUUCUAGGAUUUUACAUUUGUGUACACAUCAUAUGUACAAAUUUUUCCAUAGUUAAUAAAGUUUACUUUCCGUUAUCAAUUAUUUUUUGUUAUCAAUUUUUAUUUCUCGUAAUUUGUUUGCAAAAUAAUUUAUUGUUUUUUAUCAUAUGAUGCCGCAAAACAUCGAGAAUAAUAAAAGCUAAAACAAAAGAAAAAACGUUGUGCAUUGCUUUGAUUACUUGAAAAGUUCUAAAGCGAGAUUCGUAGUCUAUAGUAGAUGAUUAGUAUGCGAAUGCAUCUCAAUAACUGUCCGAUCAGAUCACACAUCCUUUUCUCCCCAACAACGUCAGGUUUGAAAUCUCCAGCAAUUAUGGUAACGUGAAGUCUUCUCCUUUGUGACAAGCUCUCUGGUCCAGAUAUCAAAAGUCGGAGAGUUGAAGUCUACAACCAUGCCAAAAGAGUAUCACCCUUGUAGAUACCAUUCAUCUCUCACACAAAAAAAGCCCACAUCGCUGCAUAGCAUGCAUAAUUUCAUGCAUCGGGUAAAAUCAAUCAUACAUUGCAUAUAUCAUGCAUAUCAAACCGUUCUCUUGUGACGGAUAUAUUUCCCCAACAGAUAUUUCAGUCAAUCCCCAAAAGAUAAACCUAUAAAAAACCUACCCGUCAUUCCAUAUCCUCGAUAAACAAAUCCUAAAUGCACUUACCUUUCUUUCAAUGCAUCUUUAUCUUCCAACAGACAAAUUUUCAGAUAUUCUUAUAUUUAAUCCUCUUCUACCUUGAAUGCUUGAAAAGUUAUCACCAUUAGUACAUUCAGGUCCAAGAUAAUUAAAUAGGGACAACUGUCAUACCCCAAAAUUUGCCAUACUUUUUUCAUUUUUGUCUAGCUCAUGAUUCUCAUUUCAUCCACUACAAAAAAACGGGUAAAUUAUGGUGGUUUUAUUAGGAAGAUGGUAGAAAAUGCCACAAUUUUCCGUGAAUUAUGACGUUUUUAUUUAAUGACAUAAUUCUAUUCUCGUGAAGGCAGUUUUAAUUCACAUAAAUUAAUCCAAUUCACUUUGGUGCCUAACUUUUCACCUUCUAUCCCUUCUCCUUUUUACCCUAUUUCUUGUUACCUGUUUUAUUUUGUUUUGUUUACCCUAAUAAUUUUCCUUUCUUCCUGUUUUCUCUCCACUUUUCACAACUCCCACCUUUCUUUAUCCCCAUCUGUCAAACAUAUUGAAAAUAUUCAAACCAUUACACCACUUCGGUGUUUCCUAAUCCACUAUCAGUGACAACUUUUCUGACUUUCGUCUCUACAUCUCACUGUUUCAGGUGUGUUCCAUUUCGCUUCGCAUUACUAGGGUUCAUAGAGGACCAAGAUUAUUCACAUAAAUGCAAGUGUUUAUAAGUAAGAUUUUUGUUCGCCACUCUAAUUUGUGUUGCUUAACUAUUUUUAUUUUUUAUUAAUAUUUGAUUUCAAGGGUUAUUGGGAGUGGACUUGUUUUUUUUCUUCUUCAUUUCUUGUAUAUUGCACUCGAUCUUGUUAGGUUCUCGAUGGUUUUGAUUAUAACACAAAAUAAUGUAAAUUUUAACACAUAUUGAUUUUACUACCCGUGCUUUUAUGGUUAUUUUCUGCUAGUUUCUUCCAAUUGAUGUUGUUUUUAUUGAAGAGAACAAUGUUUGUCAUUGUUAAAAGCUUGCUUAGGUUGACCCUUUUUACCGUAGAUAGUAAUCAAGGGUAAAGUUGAAAAGGUUAACAACCUCAAAUCCAAUCACUUUAUUGUAUCCUCUUUCUAUUUAUUUGCAGAUAGGUGAAUCUUAAACAUGAGUUUCAAUUCAGUCCAUAGAUAUUUCCAGGAUAUAUUUUCUCAUGUAUAGUGAUUCUGUUUUGUUUUUUUUUUCUACCAAAAUAUUAUGUGAUCCAAUUUUAUUUGAGAAUGUGGUUGGGUUGUCACAAGUUCCAAUAUAAAGCCACUGUUUAUUAUUGUGUUGAACAGGUUGAUUCCAAGUUGUUGAGACUGUGAAUAUUAAUCAUUCAAAGGAUGAAGAUAUGAGCCCAAAUAUCAUCCCAUCAAUUUAAAUAAAAAAUCAGUUCCAGUAACUCUUCCAGAUAAUAUGAGCCCAAGAUUCAUAGUAAACCUGGAAGAUAUGUCUACUUAGUAUGUACAUGCAUUCCAUACCACUUUCUUCCUACAUUGAAAUGGUAUCCAUUAAAAAAGUUUGUCAUUCAGUUUUCUCCAACUAUAACGGUGGAGGCCCUUGAAAUACUCGUGUAUCAUUGCAUUCUCAUUCCGGUAAACAUUAAUUGUUGCUUCAGAUUCCAAGGGUUGGACAAUUACUUGCAUGAGGUAUUUAUUUAUAAUUUUGCAAUUUUUUCAAUUACAUAAAUAUUGCUUCUAGUUCUUCAAGGUUUUUGGAUAUCAAAAUGUGAUUUCAUAAUAGUUUUUAAAUAAUUGUUUGCUAAACAUGUUGAUUUGUGAAUUGAAUUUAGAUUUUGCAUUUUAAGAUGGGGUUCGGAGGUGGAGACUAUAGUUCAAGUAUGUAGUUAGGUGAAAACUAUCUUGAGGUUAUUUAUAAUUUAAGAGAUUUAAAUAUGAAAUUUACAAUCUGAGAAUGUUUUCAUCAAGUAUGAAACCAUAUAUCUAUAUUCCUUGUUGAUUUCUUCUAAGAGGCUUUAAAUGUAGUUUAAGAAAUGUAUAUCAAACUAGAUGAUGUAAAUGGAUCUCAUUCGGGAAUAAGUGGCAAAAUUUCUCUGAGUAAUGAUUUCUAAAAUAUGAUAAAUGUUGGGCUAUUGAUUUUGCAUCAACUUAUUUAUUUAUUUUUUCAUGUGAAAAAUGUUAAAAUUAUGGCGUUUACAACCGACAUUAUUAACUAAAAUAAAUCAACAUUAUAUUAUUCGGUAUAUUGCGGCGGUUUGUAUGGCGGUUAAUAAGAAACCGCCAUUUUUACCUAACGGCAGCAAAAUUUACAACAUAAUUGAAAACGCCAUUUCCAUUAAUUAAGUCAGUUAAAAUCGCCACAAUAGUAGUAUUUUAGCAGCCAUAAUUUACCUGAUUUUUUAUUGUUAUGCAUAUUCACAUGCCAUAAUCAUCCAUCAUAAAACAUUCAUUGUGCAUUUCUUCAAAUAACACAUCAUUGAUUCAAAGGUCUGUAUUUCAGAAGCAAUGUGUUGGUUUAUGACUGACAAAAUUAGAUCAUUUAACAUAUUUUGGUUAACACCUUGUGGAUCAAGUCACUCUGAGGUCCUACCUUGAGGUCAAUAUUCUUUUAUCAUGUCAAUUAAUAUUAUGUCAUUGAAAUUUGGGGAGUCAUUCUCAAAUAUUUAUUAUGGUCCCUAAAAGUCAACCAUUUAGAGUUAACUUUUGUUAGCCACUUUCAUUCUUAUUUUGUAAUCAUCUUUGAUUUUGUCAUCCAAGAGGUCAAAGGCUUUUACAUGUCAAGUCUAAAUUCAGGAAGGCAAGGUCAUUCAAAUUCAAAUGUUCAAAUGCUCAAUUUUGGAAGGAAAACAUUAUUGCCUGAGAUGUAAGUUACAUUACGCCAUUUAAAAGCCAUUUUCAUUUCAAAAUAUCCAAUUACAUUACAAAAGGAGACAAAUAACAAAACUUUACACAAAAAUUAUAAAUUUUGACCUACAGUUGACUCGAUCAACUGUUUACUUUUUGGUCAACCAAUUGACCAAAGUCAAUAACUAAUUCUAACCCUAAGUUUUACAUUUUCAUUAUCCUCAUUCUUGUGAAUCUCCAAAGUUCUUCAUGGUUUUGAUUUUUUGACCAAACCUUCAUGAGCAUAUUGCACCAUUCCAUUCCAAGCCCUGCAUAAACACCAGCCAGGUUCAAUACACACAUACACAUAAGGCCACAAUCGAACAAAUCAUGUCAUUUCCUAACAUAUUAUGCACAUCUCAGUUCAUUUACAAGCAUCAUUUAACAGUCCCAUACAAUUUCACUUAAGCAGCGUAGUUAGCAUAAAUUUUCAGAUCAAGACAAUAUUUAACAAUUCCAUUGAAGAAGUUUUUCUCAAAAUAGCAUGAUAACAUCAACAAUUAUAUUCAAGUUCAGCACUACAUUCGGUCACAUAAUAGAAUCCAAACAACCAAUAGCUAACAUCAAUUACUAAAUGCAUUCAUAAUCAGUUCCUCAUUGUUUUGUCUCUAUGUAACCUGUUAAAAUCAAAUUCAAUAAACAAGAUCGAUCAAGCAAUUUGUUGUAUUAAUUGAUUUCACUAUCUUUUUUUAAUUAACUUUCUAAUAACAUUACUCCAACUAAUUCACUCAUUACAAUGGCUAACUGAAAUCAAAUACUAACAUACUUAAUAUCAAUUCUAACCAAUUUCCAUAAUUAAUUCAACAUAAUUCCUCUUUUCAAAAUUCAAUCCAACUGAGUUUUUUCCCCCUUUAUUACACUAACUUUUGCAGCAUGCUGUUAUCGAUCAAACAUUCCACAAACUAUCUUACUAACAAUGCAACAUAACUAAUUUCAAACUAUAACUAGUUUGGACUUUAAUUACUAACCUAUUAACUGAUUUCCCUAACUUUCUAAUUCAAAAUACACUAAUUAAACAUCUUCAUUAAGUGAACCUAGCAAAGCUCGAACAAUGUUGUAACUUCCAAUUAGAUAACUACCUCCAAAUUUUAACCAAAAUACAAAUACAUUCAAUAAGAUUAACCUCAGUUUCACAUUCAAACACUAAAACAUCCCCAUGUUUCAGACUCAUUAAUCCAAACAUUUCGACACAAGCAAUCCUGUAAAUUAAAUGUUGCUAACAUGAUUCAAACUCAAGCAUAACAAGUCUCAAUGUACUCAAAAACCAUUGCAACACCAUGUUCAUAACAACGUGCCUCUCAACUGUGUAUUCCAAUUCAAUAUCAACACAUCCUACUUCCUACUAUCAAUUACACUAACUCAAAGUUAACCUAACUGUUUUUAUCGAUUCCAAUGACCAAAUUCAAGGCACCUAACUAACACUUAAAAUUUUUUACUAAUAGAAUUCAAUUUAACUAACUGAAUCUCAUUAACUUCACUUAACUUACUCUUAACAGAGUCCAUCCUCCUAACAAACUUUUACUGAGAAAUCUAACAGAAGUUAACUACCUUAACCCCUAACUGAGCUGCCCUAUUCAGUUACACCACUCAACCUCUAUAUAAUUCAUCAUCACCAUUCAAUCAUGGAAAACAAUUAUCUACUCUACAAAUCAAUCACAAUUCACUGAAAUUUCACUCUCACUGAGAAGUUCCCACUGUAAAUUUUCUAUGAACCUCUCACUUUUUAUGCAUUUCUUCCUCAAUUCUCAUUAAUAUCACAUAAACGAUAACAACACAAAACAAAUUCACCCACAUACUAUGAUCAGAAAAAUAGCAAGUGUACUAUUUUGCCUUUGUAAUCAUAAUGAGGAAAGUUCCUCGAAUGUCGAUAUCAAUGAUUGCCUGUAAAUCUUGAGUUCUAGUUGUUGUUCAAUUAAACAAAAACUAAUGUUUGGAAUUAUUUUGCUAAAUUAUUAAAAUAAUUAGGAAUAUAGUAAAUGAGUGUCGUGAACGAUUUUGACAGAUAUUAGUAAUAUGCUAGGGAAGGUGUGUGAUUUAUUCGUGUAACAACUCUGGAUCAAUACUGCAACAACAAAUAUCAAUUAAUUAAUAUCAGUUCUUAAGGUUGUUUUCUCAUACUGUCUUAGUGAGAAAACCUUUAGUCAUUCAUCCCUAAUCUCUAUGUUCAUAGACAUUUACCGAUGAAAUUAAGCCUUAUAAUAUCAAGAAUAAUCUGGUUUCUAUCGGGUAUCCCUAAUCCUAGGCUACGAUAGAAUAUUCUCACGAAAGCAUUAUCAACGGCGGUCCAACCUAAUUGAUAACCAUAUUUCAAUCUCAAUUAUUCCGAAAGAUAAAGCAUUAAGAACAUCAAGAGAAUAUAUUAAUUAUGAAAAAUAACAUUGUUAUUGAAAAUAUAAAAUCACAGUCAUUACAUGUUCAAAUCAGGGGUACCCCCUAGCAUUGGGGGGUUUAGCUACUCAUAGUAUUCAAGGAAAUCAAAACAUAAAGUGUAGAUAUUACAAGUACUUAGAUGAAAUUUGAUCUUCAAUCGCUUCCAUUCAUAAAAAUAUCCUCUCCCCCAAGCCCUUGUUUUCUCCAAUUCUGAAUCGUGUAAUUUUUCUCUUGCCAAAAAGUUCCCCUAUUCUUGUCCAAAAAUUCCCUUAAAUAGAAAAAGUGUCUCCUUUAUCUUUCUCUCUCUUCAACAGACCCAAAAUAGUCAAUAAAAUCAGGUUUAGAAUGGACCAAAACACCAUGAGUUCUCAAAUUUCACCCAAAAAGGAAAUAUUUGGUCUCAUAACACAUGCCUGCUACGACCCGUAGCAGGUGCUAUGGGUGGUCGUAGCGCUCCACUUCUUCUGGUCCAGGCUUCAUUACUACGGCCAGUAGCAGGCUGGAAUAUCUGUUUGAACCUGAAAAAUAGUAAAGACACACAACCAAAGUAUAACAUGCGGAAAAUAGAAAUAAAACUUAAAAAUAAAGAAACGAUUAAAUCAACUAACUGUAAAAGAAACUGACUCAAAAGACCAUUAAAUAAGACAAAGUCUUACAGUUUACCUGGAUUUUUUCCGAAUAAGUGACAUAACAUGUAACAUAAAUGGUGACUGGUCAGACUAUGUAAUAGAGAGGAAUAAUAAAAAUAUUACACAAGGCAGAGCAAAGAAUUCGGAAUCGUACUUGGGGAAUCUUUGGUAUUCUUGAUUUUUUUCACUUUGUCAUCUUCAAUUUCAAUACACACUGGGACACAUCUCAGUUUUGAAGGUAGGUUCUGAACCUUUCCUCCUCUUGCAUAUGUCUUCUUACCUUGAUGUAGUCUAAUGCCAUAGGGACUAAACCCCUAAGUUUUAGAUCCUUUGCAAAGUCCCUGCGCCAUUUAAUUUUAGAGUUGGUUCUUAGGGCUUAUAUGUUUUUUGCGUUUGGUUAGAGCAUGUGGCUAGGAAUUAGAAGAAGGUGAGGUAAGAAUCAAGUAGAGUGGUUAGAGACGGUUAUGAUGAGUUAGGUUUGGUGGUGAUUGGACCUCUGUCACCGUCAGAGGCGAUUUUCGGCGCGACAAGGUUAGGGAAGAUGGUAUCUCGGGCGAGGCAUGAAUAUAAAUGAAAGAAGUGAUUUGAUCAUGUAUGAUUUUCCCCCUGCCUUUGGAUUGAUGCGUGUUGGGCCUGGCACCCUUGGGCGAAGUCGUUUACAUGUUGAACCCUACAAUAAACAAUACACCCCCCUUUGUUUAUUGCCUGAGCCAAACACCUCUCCCUUUGGGCCUUCUGAGCCCAUUCCGAACCUAGUUGCUUACUAUACACCUUGUCAUCCCAAGCAUACCUCCAUGCAUCCUUUGUUUUUCUUCUCAGUUUUUUUAUCUCUUUCUUUAAACUUUUAGUGUUGUUCUUUUAAUAUCAUGAGAUACUUUAAAAAAUGAUAACACUUAGAUUUUAAGAUUUAAUUGUUUUCCACAUUCAAUCCAUAUUUUUUUGAAAAAUAAAUAAUGAUCAUUAGUUUUUUUAGAAUAAAUUUUCAAUUUAAUUUUUUUAGAUGAUGAUAAAACAUGUUCAUAUUAGUUUUAAUAUCAGGUAUUGAUGUGCUUUUUAACUCUAUGUUUCCCUUAAAAUUCUAGACUUUAAUGAGAUUUAUGUGCUUGAUUCAUACUCUGAUCUUACCCCUAAUUUAUGAGUUGAUCAAAGUCUUCUUUGAUUAACUAAUCACUUUGUAUGUCUGAUUACCCUAUCUAGUCAAGUGUCAAAAGUCUCUUGAUUGUUUGAUAGGAUUAGUCCUCUGUAUUGGAGUUUCAAUGUAUCUCAACUCAAGUCAAGCUUCUCCAUUAAGACUUUGAAGACUUUAGAUGUCAAGAUUGAUUCACCACUCAAGCACAACAAAAAUAUUCUCCUUGCAAAACUUGUCAGUUAUGAUGUGAGUCGCACACCACGAGCCUUAAGUAGUGGAGAAGGAAUGAGAGAGAGUAUUCAUAUCCUCAUUCUAAAUAUCUUUGGAUACGGGAGACCUAACCCAAUUGUUUAAAGUAUUCACCUCCAUUCAUAGACUUUAGUGGAAUUCAAAUCAAAUAAUUGACAAGUCCUUUUCCCCAUGGACCACACUACAACAAUCAACAUCAAUGACACUCAUCUCUGCACCACACUCUCUGGUUUAAACACCACUCAUUAUUUUCUUUUGGUUUAAACACCACUUUUACUUAUUUUUGUUUAAAUACCAUUUUAUUUGGUUUAAACACCAUUCUUACUCUCUUGGUUUAAACACCACUUCUUGGUAGGUCUGGAUCCUCGAAUCUGGAUAAAAUCCUACGAAUCUGUUUGAUUUAAACACCAUUUUUUUGGUUAAACACUAUUUUUAUCACUUAGUUUAAACACCACUUUUCCAGUUUAAACACCACUUUCCCGGUUUAAAAACAACUCCUUUGGUUUAAACAUCAUUUUUAUGUCUCAUUCAGUUUAAACACCAUUCUCUCGGUUUAAACACUAUUCCCUUUACCCUUCCAGGUUUAAACACCACACCCUUGGUUUAAACACCACACCUUUGGUUUAAACACCGCUCCCUUAGAUUAAACACCACUCUUAUUCUCUUUUGGUUCAAACAUCAUUUUGUAGCGGUAAAAAUUUUGAGAUUAAGCUAUUGAUUAACUUAACUCGCAAAACAAGAGUCACCACCACACUUUUAUUGUUUCUAAAGGGAAAAUGGGAAAAAGUAUGAACAAAACCCAAAGAAGUUUUUAAAAAACAAAACUAAUAAAAAGAGAACAAGGGUCAUGGGGUUAGUUAUGCAAAGGGAAUGUAUUAGCACCCUAAGCAUCCAUGAUACUCCAUGUGAACCUUUUUGAAAAUAUGUACAUUUUAGUUUGAAAAAGGGUGUUGUUUGUUGAAAGAUUGGAGAGAUAGGAAAAUAAGUAUAUUUUCUUUAUUUUUUAGGUUUGCCAAGACUUUUGAAGUCUCAUUCCUACGUACCAACAAAGUGCAAUGGAGGAUCAAAACCUCGUAGUUCAUGGUAAAAAUAACAAAGGGAGUUCGUUUUGAUUUAUUUUUUUAUGGAAAAGACAUUUUGUCAUUUUAAGGAGAAUACUCGACUUGUCACCCACAAGUAUGAGAACUUUGAAUCACCGUGAGAAGGGCUCCAACUUGGAUAAAAUCAACAAGUAUACCACUAGAUCUCACAGAUGGAAAAGAAUUAUCAUCAAUACUAUAAGACAAGAGAAUUAUAUCUCAACUAUGGAAAUGACUCAUGUCUAAUACCUUGAGAAAAGUUUUAAGAGGAAAAAGUGCAUAAGGGCACAAAGUGGUUUGAAUGAGUUAGGCAUUUUUUAGUCUUUUGAAAUUGGUCUAAAUAUGCUUAAGAUGGAUUAGAACUUAUUAAGAAAAAGGUUUUGAAAAUCACUUUACAAAAGUCAAGGUUUAUUGAGAAAAAUGAUUCAAGUUUGAAAAACAAAAAGGUUUUGAAAAAGAGGGAAGAUUUGAAAAUUAAAGAAUGGGAGGAGAAGAAGAGACUACCCUAGAGCACAAAGUAAAAGCUAAUGAGGAAAGAUCUAACCAAGAAAUAGCAAGCUUUAUGACAUAAGUCAAGCAAGAAUUUCCUCCUUUGGAUUAAGCCUCAAACAAGCUAAGCUAAGCAAAUCAUAAUUCAUGUAGCAUAUGAACCCAAACUAACUAAGCCAAGUCUUCACAGAGAAGUCCAAAGUCAAAGGUAUCCGGUGAAUUCCAAGGCCUCGAGUCAUAAGUCCCAAAGCUAGGGUUAAGAUCCUAAUUCUAAAUCCAUAACUCCACAAUGAUGCCAAGGAUAGUAACCACAAGUUCAUGAAUUAGGGGAAACAAGUUUCUUUUUUAGGUUUUUUCUUAUUAAUGUUUUCUUUACAAAGAUAUGAGAGUAAAGUCCAAAUGGACAAAAGACAAAUGACAUAAUCACGAAUCAAUAUGAUAUGAAAUGCUCAAUAUAAAGUAUACGUAAAUGGUAUAAGUAAAAGUGCAUGAAGUAAAUGACUUGGAAAUAAAAGUUAAUACAAGUCAAAAGUUAGUAAGGGAUGUUAGUAGAGAUGAAAAUAUGUUUUUUUGUCAUCUUUUGGAGAACACUCAACUAUCCACUCAUAAGCAUGAAAAUAUGAAUAUAUACAUCAUUUGUGAGAAGGGCUCCAACUUAGAUAAAAUCAGCAAGUAUGCCACUAACUCUCACAAAUGGUAAAGGAGCAACAUUUUCAUACAAUACCAUGAGGGAUAGGCGACUUACGAUCUCACUUAUAAAAAUGUCAUUGCCUUUGGGACAAAUUUAGCGCUAUGUUAAGCAAUCGUAAUUAGACUUAUGUAGAAGUCACAACUAUCUGAGGUCGGUCAAUAAUAAUGUUUGUGUUAAUACAUGCUAGAGAAAUGAUAUGUAAAUCAUUCUCCUAAAGCCAUACCCCACAAAAAAGGGGAUGAUCAAGCACAAAGGCUAAAAGGAUGGUCCAUUACUUCAUUCCACACUUCAUGACACUUAGGACAAACUUAUGCAUCAAUCCAAAGUACCUUAAAUGAUUCAUGAUCACUUAGAAUGUAGUUUUGAAAUGAUGGAAGUUCAUCAAGUACCAAUCCACACAUCAUGAACAAGAUGGACACAAGCCAUCCAAUUGAUCCAAGGGAAAAGAAAGAGAUGAAGAAGAGGGACACAAGAGAAGUCAUACUCAAAUUGGAUCAAAAGUUUGAUCAAGUCAUCAUCAAAAUCAAUCAUCCAUUUUGGUGGAUUAGGGUUUUCACCCCCAUCAACACCCAAGAUCCAUUGAGUUUGAUGAGACUUGAAGUCCAAACCAUCAUAAUCCAAGGCUAAUAGAAGUUCACAAGGUCACAAAAAUAUAAAAUGCAAUUAAAUGAAAUAAAAAUGCAUCAAAGGUAUUUUUAAAUGAUUUUUAAAAUAGAAAUAAAAUGGAAAAUCCAUAAAGUCCUUCAAAACACCAAAUAAAUGGCCAAGAAAUUUAUGGAAGGUUGGAAAUAAAAUAAGAAACAUAUAAUAAAAUUUUCAGAAUUUUAAAAUACCGAAAAGUAUUUUUAAACUAAUUAAAACAAAGGAGAAAAGAGAAAAUUCAUGAAAAAUAUAAAAUCAAUGAAAUAAAAUGAGGAAAAAUAAAAAUCAGAUGAAGAAAAAUAAAAGAGAAUUUUAGAAAUUAAUAUGAGAUUUUUUGGAUGAAAAAUUAAAUUACUAUGCAUUUUUAAAGAAAAAGAAAUUUAAAAUAAUAAAAGAAAAAGAAUUAAAAUCAGAAAAAACACAGAGCGUUGGAUUAGCCUCAUUAAUUGACGUGACAGAUCCAACACUCAAAAGGUUAGGAUGCAUGGUGGAACACACUAUAAGCCAAAUACAGGAUCCAAUUCAAAUUCAACCAAUCAAAACAUUUCAAUUUGCCAACGUGUCUGGUUCAAACUCAGACAACCUAAGAAAACUCCUGUCAUCUUCUCCGGUGAGCUCUUACUGGAGUCUAAGAAACAAACAAGUCAUGAAAAAUAAAACUAAAUAAUGAACACGAUCAAUCAACAUCAAAUAAGUUAAGGGAAACAUCAAAGAGUGAAGGACUACAUUGUGGUAACUUGUUUGAGUUCAAAUGAUGCUCAAAACUACCUUGUCCAGAUGGUGAUCAGAAGUUGAUGAAGCUCAAUCUUGUUAGAGAAUUUCAUAAGGUCUCAGAGCUUGGGAAUUGUUUCAAAAGUUUAAGAGGAUGCCGAUGAAGCUAAUGGAACCAAGAAAUUGGAUUGAAACAAGCUGAAACUCAAAACGCAAUAAUUGAAUUUUCUGGAAAAAAUUUGAGUUGCAGCCGGGGUUUCUUGGCUCUCUAAAGCUUGCAAAUGAAGGCAAUAACUUCCUCUAUUUAUAGGGAAUGUGUUUAGAUCCAAAUACGUGUGGAAUGAUGCAGAAUUCGUGCAAAACGAAUUUGAUCAAAAUGUGUGAAAAGUAUGACUUGAAACUCAUCAAAACUCAGCCAAAUGAUGCAUUUUAAGUGUCAUUUAACUUCUGGAGACUUGUUUAAACAUGUUUAGGACCAAAACACUUGUUAAUUUUGCUUGGAAUUGAGAUUAAUCAGGAUCAGAUUUCGGGCAAUGGUGAUUUCUUCGAUUCCAAGUCACCAUGUUCAACUCAAUGGGGCAUCCUACUCAAGAGGCUUUAUGAUCCCAUUAUCAUGGACAAGAUUAAAAUGUGCCAAUAAAGGUUUCAUUUGGAUGUUUGAGCACAAAGUUAUGGCAUGUUGAAGUUGGCAUGAAAAAAUGGUUAUGUAACUUAGAAAAAUUUGAGUGUUUCAUGGCUGAAAAUGACCUAUAAUUUCUCCAUGAAUUACAUGGCCUUCCAAGCAUAUUUUGACCUUGGUCCUUGAAGAAAACUUGUGUAUGGCAUCACAAAUGACAUUGAGCAAAAAGAAUCAACUCCAUAUGUUGAAAAUUGAAGAAAAUAUGAUCCUUGAAAGUUGGGGAAAAAUCACUUGAAAAUAGGUCAAAUUUCAUUAAGCCCACAAAUGACCUAUAAUGUCUCCAAACUUUUGAUAAUCCUCCAAGCAUAAUUGGCUCUUUUCAUGUAAAGAGAAGUUGUAGAUAACGUUUAGAAGAGUCAUAUUCAAAAAGAGGCAUUAAAAAUGUUGAGAAUUGAAGGAGUUGUGAUCCUUGGAACUUUGACUUCAAAAUGUUGACUUUUAGGUCAAGCUUCUUGGAACAAGCUUGUAUACUUGGACUUUUCUUGCAUUUCAAAGCACAUGGUGAUCAUAUGAACUCAAAAUAAGGUGCCCUUUAUUUCCUCUUAAUUAAAUUUCUCAAAGCUUGAAGUUUCUUGUUGAAGAAGGCAUGGAAAUAAACACAUGAACCUUUUGACUUUCCUUGAGAAGUAAGCCACAAAACUUUGAGAUGCUCCUGAUUUGAUGAGCCAUAUCUUGCACAAAAACCUAACGAAAACAAGACAUAUUUUUUGUAUUUUGAUUAGUGGUUAGAUAAGAAAUGAAUCAAAUGAACACACAAGUAAAAACACCAUCAAAGAGGUGCUUGGUGAUCCCUGCAAAAGCAAAACCAAAGAUGGAUAGCGAAAGGACCAAGAUGGGAAUUUGUUUGUAUGCAAAUGAUGCAAAUGAUGAAAAUGAUAUGUGGGAUCUUAGGAUUAAAAAUUAUGGUAUGACAGAUGCCCCUAUUUAAUUUUCUUCAAUUUGGAGAUAUGAAGGUUGAAAUCUUUGUCUCGACAAGAAUGGAGAGACUUAAAUAUUAAAGAGCCAAUUUUUUGCCCUAAGAUACCGCGAGAUGUUUAUGAUAUGAUAUGAAAACAAGGAUCUCUAUGGGGAAUAUAGCGUCACGAGAGACAAAGAACUGCUAGAGAAAAGAGGAGACUGGAAUCUUGCGGGGGGGUGAAAAUUCCAAGAGGGUACCCUACUGGAGACAAACAAAUUUCUGCGGGGCGAAAAGGCAGAGCUCGAAAAUAACUAAUGCAUGGUUAGAAACAAACUAAAUAUCUAAAGGGGAAGACUUAUCAAAGCAAGACUUCAUUGGGGAAAAGCAAUCAUCAAAAGGGGAAAACCUUGACUCCGAUAAGAGAAGAAUAUUACCUAACUAUCAGCCGAUUGAUAGCUUAACAAAGGUAAUAAUCUCAAAAGGAUGAUUUAGAACUACCAACCAAGUGGUUACUUAACAAAGGUAACCAAUCAAAGGUAAAAGGAAUAUUACCUACUAUCAACCGAUUGAUAGCUUAACAAAGGUAAUAGGCUCAAAAGGAUGAUUACUAACUACCAUCCAAGUGGUAAAUUAACAAAGGUAACUAAUCAAAGGUAAAAGGAAUAUCACCUACUAUCAGCCGAGUGAUAACUUAACAAAGGUGAUAAGCUCAAAAGGAUGAUUACCAACUACCAACCAAGUGGUAACUUAACAAAGGUAACAAAUCAAAGGUAAAAGGAAUAUUACCUACUAUCAGCCGAGUGAUAACUUAACAAAGGUAAUAAUCCAGGGAGAAUGAUUACCAUCAUAAGCAUAAGCAUUGGGAUCAUAUCCUGGCAUCUUCCUUACCCCUCCUUCAUUGGGUUUGUCUUGGGAGAGAUCACCAAGCACUUUGUGAUUAUAUCAUACUUGUAUUAUAUCAUUUUACUAACUAAAAUGCCAAAAAUAUGUCUUUGCAUCUAUCUAACUCUUUUUGUAGGUAGGGCAUGAUCUCAUUAAUUCAUUGAUCACAUCUAGGGUUUGAGACCCUCAUGAACAAAGAGCACAACCAAUAAUUGAUUUAAUAAUGGUUAUAAACAUAAUAUAUGAGUCCCAUUGAUCUCUACAUGUUAUAUUGAUAAAGUUUUCUUCAAGAGUUUGAAGGUGAUUUGCCUUGGAAACCCUAGUUUGACUGGGUAUCUUAAGUAACUUCUCCAACAAGCUAUCUCACCAAUUGAUCAAAUUUCUCAAGGGACACUUUAAAAAUCAUCAUAUUAUGCAUAUAUGAUCUACCAUGAUCCAAUAAAGUCAAGAGAAUUGGAAAUUAGCAAGUUGGUUGAUGGUGGUUGGCCAGAUGAAUUCAUCUAAUCAAAACUGGGUCUCCCUAGACCCUAUCUCCUACAAUUUUCACCAUAUGAAAAUUAUUCCAAGAGANNNNNNNNNNNNNNNNNNNNNNNNNNNNNNNNNNNNNNNNNNNNNNNNNNNNNNNNNNNNNNNNNNNNNNNNNNNNNNNNNNNNNNNNNNNNNNNNNNNNNNNNNNNNNNNNNNNNNNNNNNNNNNNNNNNNNNNNNNNNNNNNNNNNNNNNNNNNNNNNNNNNNNNNNNNNNNNNNNNNNNNNNNNNNNNNNNNNNNNNNNNNNNNNNNNNNNNNNNNNNNNNNNNNNNNNNNNNNNNNNNNNNNNNNNNNNNNNNNNNNNNNNNNNNNNNNNNNNNNNNNNNNNNNNNNNNNNNNNNNNNNNNNNNNNNNNNNNNNNNNNNNNNNNNNNNNNNNNNNNNNNNNNNNNNNNNNNNNNNNNNNNNNNNNNNNNNNNNNNNNNNNNNNNNNNNNNNNNNNNNNNNNNNNNNNNNNNNNNNNNNNNNNNNNNNNNNNNNNNNNNNNNNNNNNNNNNNNNNNNNNNNNNNNNNNNNNNNNNNNNNNNNNNNNNNNNNNNNNNNNNNNNNNNNNNNNNNNNNNCUAGUUUUGCUUGGAAAAUCAUUUUCUAUGUUGAAACAUUAUAGGUCAUUUUGUCUAAACCCUAAUUUGAAAGUCAACUUCCCAAGACCAUAACUUUCUCAAUCUUUAUGAUAUGAAAGAUUUCCAAGUUGCACAAUCAAAUUCAAUGUGUCUACUUAAACUUUUAUGUUUGGAGUGAGAGCUAAUUCAACUUUUUUGAGCAUGUGAUAUGAGGCUACAUUAUAGGUCACUUUUGACCUAUAUCAUUGAUCAAGUGAUUUUUCCAAACUUCAAAAAUGCAUAACUCUAUCAUUUCAAAUCCAAAUGACAUGAAAUUGGUGACCAUUUUUAAGGUCUUUGAGAUAGAUACAACUUUGAUGAAUACACUUUUCUCAUUUGAAGCUCCCAUAAAAAGUUAAGCAAGGUGGAAUAUUGAGACAUAUGGCUUGACACUUAGAAAAUUUUUGAUAUGUCAAAUUUUUCCAAACUUCCACCUCAGAUUUCUCCAAGUUCCAAGCUCCAAAUGAAAAAGUGUUCAACAUUUAACUUGUUCCUCUUGAUCUCACCUUUCUAAAGAGCUCAAAUUCAUUCAUUUUGGAUUAGAAAUGCAUAGGCUGCACAUGGCUUUAACAGGCUGAUAUCAUUUGGCAUGGAUCCAACUUCAAACAACAAUGCACAUUUGCCUUGCAAUCCAAUCAAUCUCCAAAGCAUCUGAACUUCAUUUUGGACUUUCAAACUAUCAUUCCAUGGGCCUAUGCGUGCCAUGCAGCUUUGCAUCAUCAUUUUACCAAAUUUGGAAAGUGGAAAGAGUGUGCAAAUAUCACAUGGAUUUGGCUAUAAAUACAACUGCAUUUGCUCAAAAAUCACACACACAUUGCGCCAGCUUUGAAUCUCCAUUGAAAACCUUUCACUCUCAAAGGAUAACCCUGAUAAAUUCAUUUGAAUUUGAGCUUGAAUCUCCAUUAUUUUGGAAUUCAAUUCUCCAGGAGUCCAUUGCUUCUCAACCUUUCCAUUCCUCUCCUGCAAGCAAUUGAAGUGAAGCCAAGCACAAUUCAUAUCAAGAUCCAUCGUGUUCAGACCUCCAUUAAAGGUAAUUUGCAGAAAUUUUAAACUCUUCGAUUCUCUUAAAUUGUUGCUCAAUUCCAUUGAUUCUUUGGUUGUCUGAAGUCCUACCAAUGUAGGCAAGAAGUUUGAGUUGCUUUGAGGUCAAAUCGAAGCAACUCAGAUCAUGUACCUCAUUUUUCAAUUCCACAUAUCUCUUAAUAUAUUUGUAAUUGGAGGAAUUGGAGGUCAUAUUCGAGCUCAGUGAUGUUUUUUCUUUAAGAUCAUGUCCCUAUUUCUUUUUUUGGUGAUGGUUCAUGAUGACCAGUCCGAUGAAGCUCACCGGAGAAGACAACCGGAGCUCUGGCUCCGGUGAUGAUGUGUCUUGUCUCUGAACCACUUGAUCCAAGUCCCAUGUUCUAAUUUGGAUCGUUCCUUGUGAUUACUCCUUUUGCCACGCGGUUGACUCAGGUGUUGGUGGAACGCGCGUUUUGGAUCAUCAGAUCUGUCACCUCAAUUAAUGAGGGAGAUCUGAUGGUCCACGUAUUUUGGUAUUUUCUGAAUUUUAUUUUAAUUGCAUUUUAUUCAAUAAUUCAUAUUAAAUUCAACAUUGAUUCAAAAAAUAUGGGACUUUCACCAAAAAAAUUCAAAUAUUUUUCUCUUUCAUAUUCUGAAUUAAAAUUAUUUUUUGGAUCAUUCUUAAUAUUUUUCAUGAAUUAAUUGAUUUUUCAUUUGUUUUUAAUUGUUUAAAAAUAUUUUUAAGUGUCCAAAAAUUAUGAAUUUUUUUCUCUAAGGUCCUUUGACCUUGUUUGACCUAUGAUAAAUCUCAUGGCCAUUUCUUUGGUGUUUUGAUGAGAUUUUAGGAUUUGGACAAAACAUAUUUGAAUUGAAUGCAUUAUUUUAUUAUUUUUAAUUGAAUAAAUGCCAUUUUAAUUAUGUUGACCAUUUGUAUUGACUUAAUUGAGUCUAAUUGUUUAUUGUUGGGCCUUGGUCAAGGUUGAUUUGACUUUGUCAAAUUAAUAUCAUUGGAUUUAGGGGAUUGAUGGAAUGUACAUUCCAUCCCCCAAAAUGAAUGAAUGAUAUUAAUUUGGUAAAAGUCCUCCUUUGACCAAUUUGUGAUCUCAUUAAUCCCUUUCCCUCUUCAUCUAAUUCCCCUUCUUCAUUCAUUCAUUUCCAUUUGGCCAAUGACAUCUCAAAAUCCUAAUGCUAGUUGAUUGAAAGAUUAACAUGAGUAUGAAUGAGAUUAGGCCACACUGUAGCGGGGUAUUCGUUACCAUUAGAGAUAUUGACUAAAUCCAAGGUAAACCAUACAAGUCGAGUCGCCAUCGCACUUCUAUUUAUCCAAAGGAAUGGUUAGAAAGCGAACAAAAACCUAAAAGUUUUAUCAAAUCAAAAACUAGUAAAAAUGUCAGAGAUCUGGGUAAGGGGGUUGGUUAUGCAAUGGGAAGGUUUUAAGCACCCAAAACAUCCUAGGUACUCCUAGGGAGCCCUUUUCAUACUUGUUGUAAGGUUGGUAUUUUUGUGAAAAUUUGUUUGUGCAAACAUGAUUGAAGAGGUGAGAAGAGAAUAUACAAUUUAUUUACAUUUUGUGUUUGGAUGGAUGAACCCAUUGCCUACGUACCAUCUUAAAAAAAUUAGGAUCAAAACCUCGUAGUUCGGGGUAAAAAUCUCAAAAUGAGUUGGUGAAUUGAUUGGUCCAAAAGCCUUAAGGUAUUUUGUUAUCCAAGGGAGAAAACUCAACCUAAAACCACAAAUCCACCAUGUGAGGAUAGCUUCAACAUGCUAGUGAGGGGUUAACCCUAUAAUAAGCAUGGAAGACUCAUUGUCCAUCACUAAGGAUAUAGGUGAGUAUUACAUCUACCUCAAGGAUAACUCAAACCUAAUAGCUAAAGGUUAUGAAAAANNNNNNNNNNNNNNNNNNNNNNNNNNNNNNNNNNNNNNNNNNNNNNNNNNNNNNNNNNNNNNNNNNNNNNNNNNNNNNNNNNNNNNNNNNNNNNNNNNNNNNNNNNNNNNNNNNNNNNNNNNNNNNNNNNNNNNNNNNNNNNNNNNNNNNNNNNNNNNNNNNNNNNNNNNNNNNNNNNNNNNNNNNNNNNNNNNNNNNNNNNNNNNNNNNNNNNNNNNNNNNNNNNNNNNNNNNNNNNNNNNNNNNNNNNNNNNNNNNNNNNNNNNNNNNNNNNNNNNNNNNNNNNNNNNNNNNNNNNNNNNNNNNNNNNNNNNNNNNNNNNNNNNNNNNNNNNNNNNNNNNNNNNNNNNNNNNNNNNNNNNNNNNNNNNNNNNNNNNNNNNNNNNNNNNNNNNNNNNNNNNNNNNNNNNNNNNNNNNNNNNNNNNNNNNNNNNNNNNNNNNNNNNNNNNNNNNNNNNNNNNNNNNNNNNNNNNNNNNNNNNNNNNNNNNNNNNNNNNNNNNNNNNNNNNNNNNNNNNNNNNNNNNNNNNNNNNNNNNNNNNNNNNNNNNNNNNNNNNNNNNNNNNNNNNNNNNNNNNNNNNNNNNNNNNNNNNNNNNNNNNNNNNNNNNNNNNNNNNNNNNNNNNNNNNNNNNNNNNNNNNNNNNNNNNNNNNNNNNNNNNNNNNNNNNNNNNNNNNNNNNNNNNNNNNNNNNNNNNNNNNNNNNNNNNNNNNNNNNNNNNNNNNNNNNNNNNNNNNNNNNNNNNNNNNNNNNNNNNNNNNNNNNNNNNNNNNNNNNNNNNNNNNNNNNNNNNNNNNNNNNNNNNNNNNNNNNNNNNNNNNNNNNNNNNNNNNNNNNNNNNNNNNNNNNNNNNNNNNNNNNNNNNNNNNNNNNNNNNNNNNNNNNNNNNNNNNNNNNNNNNNNNNNNNNNNNNNNNNNNNNNNNNNNNNNNNNNNNNNNNNNNNNNNNNNNNNNNNNNNNNNNNNNNNNNNNNNNNNNNNNNNNNNNNNNNNNNNNNNNNNNNNNNNNNNNNNNNNNNNNNNNNNNNNNNNNNNNNNNNNNNNNNNNNNNNNNNNNNNNNNNNNNNNNNNNNNNNNNNNNNNNNNNNNNNNNNNNNNNNNNNNNNNNNNNNNNNNNNNNNNNNNNNNNNNNNNNNNNNNNNNNNNNNNNNNNNNNNNNNNNNNNNNNNAAAAUGGUCAAAGUUGACUUAAAGAUUCAAUUCAAAAUAAGUGUUAUGAAAAGAAAGUUUGAAAAUCAAAAGCAUAAGGCUUAGGUUUCUAAUGUUGAAAACAAAGGUUAAAUGUUUGCACAAUUUUUUUUGGCUUGGGUUAGAGUGGAGAGAAGAAGAAGAAAGGCUAAAGUCCUAAACAUACAAGAGAUAAGGGAAAAGAGAACAAGACCACAAAUGGAGUUCCUCUCUUGAGAUCAAAUUGAUGAUCCAAGUAGCUCCCAUCCUUUGGAAUAAGCAAUCACAUAAGCAUAAACUCAAGCAAUCAACAAUCAAAUGAAUUCUUGGACAAGGCUCCUCAAGGUAUCUUGGAUUCCUCUCUCUUAGAAGCUUAUGGUAAUGGUUCCUCAAUUAGGCUCAGGUUGGAAUCCCUAGCACAAGGACACACACAUCAAAAAGAUUCUACUAACAAUCAAAGAAUGGACAAGAGGGAGUUUAAAAGUUGGCCCUUUCAAAGUCUUCUUCAAUAUUAAGCAUUCUAAAGGCAUGAGGCCUAGUUGCUCUUUGACAUUUAAGCACUCUAAAGGCAUGAGGCCUAGUUGAUCUUCAAACUCCAUUAGCUUGGGUAAGGUCCUAAAGUCUAAGUCCAUUUUGUCAAAUUCUUUGCAUUUGGUUCACAACAAACAAACAAACACGAGCAGAAAGGAUAUAUACACAAUUAUAUACUCAAGUGAGCAAAAGGCAAAUGGAAUUAACAUAAACAUGUGGUCCAAUGAGCAAAGGAAAAAAGCAAAUGAGUAAUAUGUACAAGAAUAAUAAAUUGCAUAAAUGUAAAGUGCAAAAAGUAAAUGUUAAUGGUUAAUAGUUAGUAGUUAGUGUGCCAUAAGGCAAAUUUAGCGCUAUGUUAAGCAAUCGUAACUGGACUUAUGUAGAAGUCAUAACUAUCUGAGGCCGGUCAAUAAUAAUGUAGGCAACAACACAAGUUAGAAGUCUUGAUUAGUGAACCAAGUUCCAACAACUUGCCAUGCCAAAAAGAAAAAAAGAGAAUUGAUCUUGUAUUGGUUUAAGUCCCUUGCAUGAUUUAGGAAACAACAUAUCCUUAAUGCAAAGCCAUUCACUUGAUCAAUUGAUCAAGAUGAAUUAUACUUGGAUCAAGGAAGAUUAAGUCUCCCCAAUCAAUGCUAACUUAUCAACCUUUAACCCAUUGAUCAAAAAGAAAAAAGAAGAAGAUGGAGAUGAAUAAUGGAAAUGGAAAGAUAAAAGAAUAAAGUGCAUUAAAUGAAAUGGCAUAUACCAAUCAACAAAUGUUGACCAAUGAUAUUGAGGAUCAUGGUCAAACACUCAAAAAACAGAAGUGAGAUGAAGAUUGGAAGUCAAGAAAUGAACAAAAUAUUUUUGGCAUUUUUAAUAUUAAAAAAUAAACUUGAAUUAAAAUAUUAAAGAAAAGUCAAACUUCAAAAUCACUUCAAAUCAACCUUGAAAAGUCCAAGUGAUUUAUCCAAAGUUCAACAAGGUCAAACAAAGUUUGACAAAAAAUUUCAGCAUUUUUAAAAGUCAGAAACUAUUUUUAAUCAAUUAAAAAUGAAUAAAAAUAACCUAAUUGAACUAAAAUCUCAAAUAAAUCUCAAAUCAAUUAAAAAAUUGAUGAGAAUAUUUUUCAUAGAUCCAUCAUCAUUCAAAUAGGUUGAGAAAAUAUUUUUGUAUUUUUUGAAUAUCAAAAACUAUUUAAAAUGAAUUAAAAAUAACCAGAAAAGAGAAAAUUCACAAUAAAUAUCAAAUGACAAAAAAAAAAAAAUUAAAAAUCUUUUUUAGAAACUAGAAUUAAAAUGGAGAAGAAUGCAAUUGGUCCCAUAUUUUUUGGAAUUAAAAUGAAGAAGUUAUGAAUUUUUGAAAAUAAAGGAAAUAAAAGAAAUAAAAUCAGCAAUUAAGAAAAUAAAAAAAAACCAGGAGCGUCUGAUCAAGCCUCAUUAAUUGACGUGGCUGAUCAAAGGCUCCACAUGCGCGCGCUCAUGGUGGUCUCCAGUCAAACGCGUCACACAAGGCAUUAUUAAAAGUCAAAUGAAACAAAGGCCAGGAUUAGAUCGUGGUCAAUGGAUCCAAGGGCUAUGAAGCCAUCCACGUGUGGGCGGUGGUGGAAACCACCGUCUUCUCCGGUGAGAAGCCAGAAUCCGGCCACCGGUUGCAGGUUUUCAAACCUCAACCAAAAUGCACGAUCCUUAUACCAAAAUGAAGCUGGGGUGAUGUACAUCACCCCUGUAACCUUGAAUUGUACUCAAAAUUUCUAUGGAAUAAGAAAUCUGAGCUGGAAGAUUCAGGUACAUCAAUUGUAGUUCAUCAAAACACAAAAUCAAAGCCACCACUGGCUUGCCUCUCAAGUGAGGACUUCAGAAAACACAUUGGCCAGGCAAAUAGAUCAUGGAACAAGGAGAUUCGAAGCAAAAAUUAGUUGAACCAUACCUUUGGAUUGUGAAGAUUUGAGAUACUUUCCUUGCUUCCUUUUGCAAAACAGAAGUUCAAUGGAUCAUAUGAUGAAGGUCUAGGAACUUUAGAUCUAAAGAUUCAACCAAAUUUAGUUGAAUUUCAGAUCUGAAAUUUUUAUGAAAUAUGAACUAGUUCCUUUGGUAAUGGCUAUGGAUUCAGUUGUGCAGCAUAUCAGGCAUCUUUAGGUGGCCUUUGGAAGUGAGCAAUGCCUUCUAUUUAUAGAUGGAGCUGAUGUAAGGAGGUGGAAAACUCGUGUGCAUGACAAGUGGAUAUUCUUUGCAUGGGCUUGCAUGAUCAUGUAGAAGGCCCAAACUCAAUUGCAUUUGCAUGCUGAUGACCAAACAACUUGAAAUGGACGUGUAAUUGGCAAUGCAUAAGCUUGAUCGUAAUGAUCAACUGUUUAAUGCAUAAUGAGCCUAAAACUUCACCUCUUCAAAAAUGCCUUGAAAAAUUGAAACAUAGGCAUGGGGUAAUUGGUUGGAAAGGUUUUGACAUAACAGGAACAAAUGUUAUGUUGGACCAAAACUCAUUUGGAGUGUGGAAAAUAGUGAAUUUUGAGUUUAAAGUGUAAGGUGCAAAACAUGCAAAAGUGAAGUUUCCAAAUUUGGCCAAUGUUCAAGCCCUUCUGUUUUGAUGAUGCAAGCCUCAAAUGGAAACACCUUCAACACAAAAGUUGUAUAUCUUCUCAAUAAAAUCAAAAUGGACUUAAACUUUUCAUCAUUUUGAUUUUUGAUGAAGAAGUUAUGGGCACUUGAAGUUGGACUUUUUUGCUUUUCAAUGCAUUUGGUCCAAAGUGACCUAUAAUGUCUUGUAUUAUCACAUGUAUUUGCUUUGCGAUUUUGAAAUUUUGUUAAACAUAACAUUUGAAGUAGACAUCUUAAGCUUUCCAAUUAAUUUGAUACCACCUCAAAAUCAUAAAAAAUGAAUGAGUUAUGUUCUUGGGAAGUUGACCAAAAAUUAGGGUUUCAGUCAAAAUGACCUAUAAUGUCUUGGAGUGGGAGAUGACCUUCAAAGCUUCAAAUCAAUUUUGGAUGAACAUGAAAGUUGUUCAUAUUGUCCUUAAGAACAUUUUUGAUUUUGGGAUCAUCUCUAUUUGACCAACACACAAAAAGUUAGGUCUCAA
This 66190-nucleotide long non-coding RNA is filed under the name Lathyrus oleraceus (garden pea). RNAcentral describes it as "Pisum sativum (pea) long non-coding RNA (PSAT_LNC009851)". The record is from RNAcentral. Lineage: Eukaryota; Viridiplantae; Streptophyta; Magnoliopsida; Fabales; Fabaceae.